UCCUGUGCACUGCCCUCACUAGGCAGUUUUCGCGCGGAGGGACCGGUCUCCCCGACUUGGGACCGGUCCCCGAGAGCUUCCCUCGGGCGCACGCGUUCGGGAACCGGUCUCUCCCCGGGAGACCGGUCCUCGGGAGACCGGUCCUCACCUGAGAGACCGGUCCCCAAGAGCUUGAUUUUCAGGACUUAGCCAAUUUUUGGCAUCUCUCGCUGGGACCACGUUCGGGAACCGGUCCCCCCCUACCAGGGACCGGUUGCGUCAUGCAACCCCGCUACAACAAGCCAGGGGAACCGGUCUCUUACUUGCAGAGACCGGUCCCCGAGAGCAACAUCAGCCCAAUGAUGCAAUUUGCCUCAUUUGCUCUCGCGGACUCAACUCCAAGGCACUUUUUGUGCUUUGGACAUUCCCAACUCCCACAAAGGGUAUACUUUUGACAAUUAGUCGAUCCUGGAUGAAGUACAAUCCUCAUAUUUCGAGAAUUCACUUCCUUACAUUACUUUUGUUUAGGUAGUUUUCUCUCUUUUGUGUUUUGUUGAGAGAGAGAGAGAUUUUGUAUCCAUGUAUAAAGACCACCUCUGUAUUACCUUCAGUUUAUGUACUCGGGUUUUGUUAUUGUACUACCUUAUGGUUUUAUUUAGUGGAUCUAGCUCUUUACUUAUUUUCUUUUCCUUGUCAUAGAUACUAGAUGUUGUAUACUCUGAUAUCUCUAGAUCUCUUCGUGUUGUUGCUUUAUUUAUUACCUUAUUGUAGACGCCUUAUAUAUUUUAGACGUAUGGCGGGUCUGGACACGCGCCGGGCGGGCUUCCGCUGUGUCCCGGGGCGUGACAGAUCAUGUCUAUGAUGUUCAUAAUGCUACAAUAAGUGACGAUACAUCUCAUUACUAUUCUAACCAUACAUUAUGCCAAUCAAUAUAAGUGUAACAUACUACCACUAGGGUGUCAAUGCUAACAAUGACUAACAUAAGGUCCACAUAUGCACUAUCAUGCAUAUCCACUAGUCCAACUGAUAUAAAUCAUCUAGUAGUAGUUUUCACAUUACACUUUAGGUUUCGUAGUUCAAUCCUCAUCAUGGAUCUACACAUGUGUAGUCCGGCUUGUGCCGUGCCAAAAAUGGCCCCGUAGUAGUCAACAUUCCCACUCUAGGAAUGAGCCUCCCCCACGGCAUCCCAUUUCAGCGCCCAAUCCCGCACGGGCGAGCUUGUGUCACAUAGGCUAUCUCCGGAGUGCCACCUUGUGGGGAGCGACCCUCACAAGAAUGUGUGAAUGAGCACAAAGGCAAGCAAGCGUGAUCAAUAGUAUCCAACUCUCGGUCAUCAUGUCUAAAAUAUGGAAUAAGUGGCAAUGACCCUAAAGGUCCCAUAUAGUAUUACGAUGUCAAGGUUUAUCAUUUAUUAACCCAAAUGUCACUACAUGACGUUCAUGAUUACUAUGUCAAGUAACAGUCACUAGUUCAAAUGCACACAACCAUUGCCAUUAUCCUAUCUAGGGUAGUUCACUUUUGUCCAAGUCUCAAUGAGAGUUCACACUUAGUCUAUUCCACUAAAGCUAAGGAAGUCACUUUCUUAUGGUGUAUGCAUAGUUACCACUAAUUAUUUAUAAUGCUCAUGAUGCAAGCCAUGCACAUAUAUCUUCCUACCCAUACCUCCACCUUAUGGAGUAAUAACAAUUAUGCGAGUGCUUUCAUUCAAUAAUGCCAUAUGCAAAUAUUCAACUAGAAUGAAUGUUCCAACUUGGUUUCUUAUAGAUCUUACAUGUACUACGUUACCAUGCCCCAACUACUUGCCUACAACAAGUGUGAUAUUGUCAUGCAAAUAUAUGCUAAGUCUCAUUCAUGCACAUGUCUAAGUCAUGUAGUUAUGCUAUCAAUCUCAAGGUCAACACCGUGUUAGUUACUAGGUCACAAUACCCUAUUUUCUUGUCUACACAAGUAUAUUAUUUAAUAUGUAAGAUGAUCACUUUACUAAACCGAUAAGUCGAGAUCCCCUAAGGGUCAUACCAUCAUUCAUGCUCUAACAUGCUUUCUAAGGUUGCAUAAAAGAGAAUUCACCAAAUAGGGCUAAUUCAUGCACAAGCUCACAUAAGAGAUUCUACUACAUAGAGCAUCAAAUUGUCUUUACAUAGCAUAUAUGUAAUGUUUCUCAUAAAUUAUCGCAUGUCAUUUUGAGUAUAAAAAACCAUUUAAUUGGAUCUUAAAACUAAAAGGAGGUUUAGGGGGGAGUUCACCUAUUUUGGUGAGAUCAAACCCAUCGGAAAUACUUCGAACUCUUUCGUAACGCCGAACGAAGUUGUCCCCUAAGAUUCUAGCACCCUAAGAAAAAUUCCAAAGGGGUUAAAAGUUACAAAACAACUACUUCAAAAAUUACACAUACAAGGUGUAAAAUAUACCUUGAGUCAAGAAGAACUUGAUCAAAGCCGAAAUCGAAGCUUGAAAAUUUCAAAUCCAAACUAUAAGAGUGUUCUACACUCAUCAAUUCCAACCCUAAAGCCUCAAAUCAAGAAACCCAAAAUAAAAUUCUAGAUUUCUCAUUUCUAGGUUUUAUCUCAAAAAUUCCACUAAAUCAAGAAUCAAAAUAGGGAAACAUGUUUCUAACCUAUCUAAAAGCUUCAAACAAGACUUGGAAUGAGCUAGGGUUGAAGAUCUCUCCUCCAACAAGCUUUUUACCAAGCUCCAAGCCUUCUCCAAAGGUGCAAAGUCCCCAAAAUGCAAAAUAGAGCAAAGAGGGGAGAUCAAAACCUAAAAUCCCAAGCAAAAAGGGAAGAAAAACUAAGGGAAAAAUAGAGUGGAGCUCACCUCUCCCUUUUCUAGUCGCAGCCCAAAAGCCCUUGUCCAAGGGGUGAGGGUGUAUAUAAGUUAUUGCGACAAAAGCGAAAAGAUCCUUCAAAAACUGCCAGACUGCAGUUUACACUGUGUACCGGUUCACGAAAAAGUGUAUCGUUACAAACUACUGUGCGCGCAAACCCGAGCCUCGGGUUGGCGGAAAACAACCCAUCUAUACCGGUACAAUCAUUAAGGUGUAUCGGUACAAAACCCGUUCCGGUACAACCAUUAAGGUGUACCGGUACACUUUCCUGCAGAGACAAACCCGAGAGCAACCCAAUAAUCUUCACUUUGGAGAUAUUAGUGCUAAGUUUAAACCUCGAUUCUCGAAAUACGAGCCAUAGGUCGGAACACUGUCGACGACCCUCCAGAAAGUCUGGAAAAAACUCAGAUCACAAAUCAAACACUCGAACCUCGCAAUUUGCAAAAGUUUAGUGUGUUACAAUUUGGCUAAAGUCCGGAUUACUUUACCGAAGUUUCGGUAUGUUACAUUCUCCACCCCUUAAAAUUAGUUUCGUCCGCGAAACUAACUUAAUUAACAUCUAGAUUUAUACCUUAAUCCAGAUUCUCGAAGAGAUGGGAAUAAUGCUCUCUUAUUGCACUCUCGAGCUCCCAAGUAGCUUCCCGAUCAUCGUGGUUCUUCCAACAAACUUUAACAUAUGAAAUCUCACGGAUUCCUAGUUUUCUUACUUCUCGAUCGAUGAUGUACGUCGGGAACUCUUCAUAAGUCAUAUCCUCUUGAAUCUCGGACGGUUCAAAUGAGAGAAUAUGCUUGGGAUCGUGAAUAUACUUGCGGAGAUUCGAUACAUGAAACACAUCGUGCACUCCCGCAAGCCUCGGUGGUACUGCUAACUUGUAUGCCACCGUGUCAACACGCUCCAAUAUCUCGAACGGUCCAACGUACCGGGGACUUAGUUUUCCACGGACUCCAAACCGUUUAACUCCCCACAUUGGGAUAUUUUUAGGAGUACGCUGUCUCCAACUGCAAACUCUAUAUCCUUUUUUCGCUUGUUGGCAUAGCUCUUUUGCAAGAAUGCGCCGUAGCAAGCCGUUGGCGGGCAAGGCGAACUUUCUUCUCCGCCUCCCGCACCAUAUCUGGGCCAAGAGUAACUCUCUCGCCCACAUCGCUCCAAUGAAUUUGAGAGCGACACUUCUUUCCAUAAAGGGCCUCGAAUGGCGCCAUCGCGAUAUUUCCUUGAUAACUAUUAUUGUACGCGAACUCCGCCAUCGGUAAAUGAUCAUGCCAUCCGCCCUUGUAGUCAAGUACACACGCUCGAAAUAUGUCCUCAAGUAUUUGUAUCAUCCUCUCCGAUCGACCAUCACUUUGAGGAUGAAAUGCCGUACUAAAAUCGAGCCGUGUGCCCAACGCAUCCUGUAGGCUCCUCCAGAAGUGAGAUAUGACCCUCGGGUCUCGAUCCGAUAUAAUAGACACGGGAACCCCAUGAAGUCUCACUACCUCGUCGAGAUAGACUUGAGCCAUCUUAUCUCCCGACCAUGUAGUAUGAAUCUAUAAAAAGUGCGCCGACUUCGUCAAUCGGUCUACUAUCACCCAAAUUGCAUCGUGUCCGCCUUGAGAUCGAGGCAAUCCGGUCACGAAAUCCAUUGUGAUAUUUUUUCAUUUCCAAACGGGUAUAGGUAGGCUUUGCAACUUUCCUACCGGAAACCGGCGCUCCGCCUUGACUUGUUGGCACGUAAGACAUUCUGCUACAAAUUCCCCAAAGUCUUUCUUCAUGCCCGGCCACUAAUAGUAUACUUUCAAAUCUUGAUACAUCUUGGUGCCGCCGGGGUGAAUACUAUAAGGAGAUUGGUGCGCUUCUUGUAUAAUCGCCUUGCGAAUGUCCUCAUUUUUAGGCACACACCAACGAUUUCUAAACCGGAGUGCGCCGUCGGUCCCAAUGCCAAAAUCAUCUACACUACCGCUCUCAACAUCACCCUGCAUCUUUUGGACAUAAGGAUCAGUAGCUUGUAGAUCUUUAAUCUUCUCCAACAAGGUGGGUUGAACCACCAAUGCCGCAAGUGUUGCUGGCAUUCCUGAAGCUACUACCUCAAGACCAAGUCGUUACAUCUCUUUUUGCAAUAAUGGUUGAGGUGUAAUUGCUGAAGCCAAGUUUUCUCACGAUUUUCUACUAAGUGCAUCGACCACGACAUUUGCCUUCCCGGUUGGUAUAAAAUAGUAACGUUGUAAUCCUUUAAUAGCUCUAACCACCGCCGUUGUCGCAUAUUUAACUCCUUUUGGGUGAACAAGUAUUUAAGGCUCUUGUGAUCCGUAUAGAUCUCACAAUGUUCACCGUACAAGUAAUGCCUCCAUAACUUUAGCGCGAAAAUAACCGCCGCUAGCUCAAGGUCAUGAAUCAGGUAGUUCUUUUCAUAAUUCUUCAAUUGGUGCGAAGCAUAAGCUAUAACUCGCCUAUUUUGCAUCAAGACACACCUGAGACCAACAUAGGAAGCAUCACUGUAUACCACAAUACUCUCCCCCGGCGUCGGUAAGGCAAGCACCUGGGUCGAUGUCAAUCUCUUCUUUAAUUCCUCGAAGCUCCGAUCGUAAUCAUCGCUCCAAACAUACUUAACUCCCUUGUGCGUGAGGCGCGUUAGUGGAGUGGUUAUUUUGGCAAACCCCCCCAUGAACCACCGAUAGUAACCCGCAAGUCCAAGAAAGCUACGGACCUCCGCAACACUUGUCGGGCGAGGCCAAUCUUUAAUUGCCUCUACUUUUUUCGGAUCCACCAAAAUGCCAUCACCCGAAAUCACGUGGCCUAGGAAAGUGACUUAUGAAAGCGAAAACUUGCACUUCUUUAAUUUUGCAUAUAGCUUCUAUUUUCGGAGUAUUUCCAACAUGGUCCUCAAAUGCUCCUCGUGUUCUUCCUCACUCCGUGAAUAAACUAACACGUCGUCAAUAAACACCACGACGCACCGGUCUAGCAACGGUCGAAUGACCCGAUUCAUCAAGUCUAUAAAUGCUGCCGGGGCAUUAGUAAGCCCAAACGGCAUAACCAUGAACUCAUAGUGGCCAUACCGCGUACGGUACGCCGUUUUGUGCACGUCCUGGGGCCGUAUCUUCAACUUAUGAUACCCCGACUGUAAGUCGAUCUUUGAGUACACCCUCGACCCUUGCAAUUGAUCGAACAAAUCAUCAAUCCUCGACAACGGGUACUUAUUUUUAAUUGUCACUUUAUUCAACUCGCUGUAAUCCACGCAGAGUCGUCACUUUAUUCAACUCGCGGUAAUCCACGCAGAGUCGAAAUGUGCAAUCCUUCUUCUUUCCAAAUAGCACCAAAGCUCCCCACGGUGACACGCUCGGCCUCACAAAGCUUUUAUCGAGCAAGUCUUGCAAUUGUGCCUUUAGCUCUCUUAGCUCUGUCGGAGCCAUUCUAUACGGAGCCUUCGAAAUUGGCGCCGCCCCGGGAAUCAAAUCAAUAACGAAUUUGAUCUCCCGGUCCGGUGGCAAUCCCGAUAACUCCGCCGAAAAUACAUCCGAAAACUCGCACGACAACUGAAUAUCACUAAGUUCCGGGUGCUCCUUUUGGGCUUCUACCAUUGUCACCAAAUAGGCUUCACAUCCACCCUUAAUCAUUUUUCUCGCCCUCGUCACCGAUACGGUCACCGCGAAGCGUGAGCUUUUACAUGCCUAAUAUACCAACUCUUCCUGAUUAGGCUCACGAAAUGUGAUCACCUUGCUUUUACAAUCUAUCACGGCAUAAUACUUGGAGAGCCAGUUGAUCCCUAAGAUUACAUCGAAUCCCUACAUUCGCUCUAGCACUAGUAGAUCUAUCAGCAUAAUCCAAUCACCGAUCUGUACUGGACAAGCCAAGCACUCAUCAUGAAUAUGAAACGAAUGCUCUGGAGCAUUUACCCACCAAUAAUCCUGAUUAUACGUGAUCUCCAUGCCAUGAGUUUUUGCAAAUGAUGCACCUAUGAACGAAUGUAAUGCACCUGUGUCGAAUAAAGCUCUAGCUCUAGUGCCUUUAAUCAAAAUUAUACCUGCCACGACAUCAUCUGGUGCUACAGGUUGCUCCUCCAUCUGAGUGGCAAAACCCGCCCACUCGGUGCUCUAGAUGUCUCCGGUUGACGCGAUGCAGAUGAGCGUCCAGCCGACAUCGCUGGGGGCAACCCCGCAAGCUAUCUCAGGGUGGAAGGAACUAAUGCCGCUGUCGGUGCAAACGAUCCCCAACUAGGGCACUCCUAGGCCAUAUGCCCCGGUUGAUCGCACUUGUAACACUUUCCUUCACGCUGCGGGCAGGUCGGCGGUCGAUGCUCACCGCCGCAAAUGAGUAGCGUGUGAGGUGGGUUAAUCAUCGGUUUGACUCCUAUGGGUUAUAUAGUCGACAUGUAUUCGGCACGUGUUUUUGCCUAUCGUAAUUGCUCUAUUCAUUGUUCAGCAUGAUUGAAAUAUGAAUUGGAGCUUAGUAUAUUGACUGUAGAUUCAUACAUAUUGGACUUGGAUAUAACAUAGGAGAAAACCAGUGAUUUGGACCUGUCACCUGCUUAACUACCGGAUUUAGCUUUAGGAGCCAUUGUUAUUUUGUAUCGCCGUAGUAUCAGCGUGGUAGAUACCCCAGAUAGUUUAGAUUACUAUUAUGCUCGUGAUGGGAUGCCAAGCCUAUUUUUACAGUAGUGUUUAGACUAUUCCGGAUUGUUGGAUGCUGUCGAGAUUGACGGUGGACCCAGAUUGCCAUUUUAGUAUCAGAUUAUGCUGAAGGCACGUGACUUGUUAGUUGGUAGACUAGUUGGACCCUGUGUACUUGACUAUAGCCUGCGAGAGCCUGAUUGAGCUCGACAGAGAUACGCUUGCAUACUCGGUUGGGUAGCGCCCAUGAGUGCCACUCCGGAGUCGGGCUUAGUGCUUCUGCGUUGAUGUCGAGGUGUCCUGUUUGGACUUGCUAUCCACUGACUGCUUAGUGUGGAGGUAGCUUUAGCUUCGACAGGAGAGACGGGCGUGUUCACAGUCCCUGGGACGGGUAUGAUUACAGUCCCGAGUGAGAUUGGGUCAGGUAUGACAUCUUCUACAGACUGUUAGUGUUAGAGCAUGAUAGUAUAGUGAUUUUUAGUUGUAGAGUUGUUCCAGCAUUAUUUAGUAUCCCACCUACCUUCUGUAGACUUAGUGGGUGGACCGAUGAUGUUGAGGGUGGCACCCACUAAGGACUACAUGUCUUUACAAUAGUUCUCACGCCCAGUUGCUAUUUGCUUUUGCAGAGCCUUCGGUUCCGGCUGCUGCAUCGUCCGAGAUAGAGCGUGGUAAGGGCGUUGCGAGUUAGAGCCCUACCAAACGAGCCGCCGAGUAGCACCAGCUACAGGUAGUUGUAGUUUUUGACUUCCUAUACAUACUGUUGUUGUAUCUCGCUUGGCGAGCUUUUGUUUACCGGAUGUUGUAUGUAUAGUGAACUUUAUUUUUCUAUCUGGUUAUACUUUGGCUAGCAGCUCUGUAGUGUUCCUGAGCUUUGGAUAGGAUUGGCUUCAAUAUUAGUGACUGGUCGACAUCUCUGGAGAGUGUCGAACUAAGUCGGAGUCAAUUCCGCACGAAUUGGAUGCAGAAUUGGACUCGACGCACUCAAUUAAGCAAAACUGGAGUUUUGCCAGUUUCGGGCGCCCAGAACAUUUUUAGGGUCGCCCAGAAACGAGUGUUGAAUUUAACUGAAACUGGAGGCCAAUUCGGAUCCCAUGUUCCGGGUGCCCAGAUGUGGGUCCGGAAAUUCGACAUCGUGAAUAUCGCUUGCUUCGAUGCGUGGCAGGCGGCAGGUGAGUUCCGCCGGAGCCAUUUACGGGCGCAGCACACCGUGAGCAGAGAGUCCGAGGAGCCCGUUUUGUGCAAGCUGGAUGUUCUGGUCGCCCAAAACAUGGUUCCGGGCGCCCAGAAACGCCCGUUUCUGCAGGGACACUGGAUAGCAGCUUCAGUUCCUGAGGCUUUUUGGAUCAUUCUAACUCACUAUAAAUACUUGGUAAACACCCCUUUGCUGCUCUUUUCCCCCCUUCUUCACAGAGAAGUCUCUUUUAGCAUCUCUACCCUCGGAUUUGCCUCAAAUUGCAUUAAACUUCCAUUGAUCCAGCUUGAUGGAGUGCUGAUUCUGUAGUUCUUCAGCGACGACCUCCAGUGUUUUGGCUCGUGCGCGAUGUAGGAAGGUCGGAUUUCGACGAAACUUGGUUUGCUGGAUUCUAGACUUCCAGAGGAAUCUACGAAGCCCUGAAUGGUAGAUUUUGGUUGAGGUUAGCUUGGUCGAACUGAGGUUUUUCUAGACUACUGUUGGCUUUGAGCUGAAAAUAGAAUUUUUGAGCUUUUCUUGAUGCUAUCUUUGUUGGCAGUGGAAUUUUGGACCUGAGUUUGAUCACCCCUCAGUAUUUGCUGAUUUUGGAACUGUUCUCACCUGAUUUGGAGAUCAUUAGGUGAGUUUUGACAUUGGAAUUGAGAAAUCCUAAGCUUAAGGCUAAAAUUGAUGAAUUUUAUUGGAUUUUGGAUGAAUUGUUAUAUCCAGAUCUUGAUGGGCUUUGUUGCUGGUUUGGAGGAGUUUCCAGCAGUGUUGCUUGUGAUCCGAGACCCUCUUGCUGCCAGGAGUUUCACUAGAGGUGGGUUAUCAUCGGUUUCGCUCCUAAGUGCAUGUUUAGUCGACGUGUAUAGUUCGAUUUUUGUAUAUCAUGCUUUAAUUCAUCGAUUAGCAUCUUGAAUGUAAUAUGAAUGUAGAAGCAUGCUGAAAUGAAUAUUUAUAUUAUACAUGUUGGACUUGAAAUUUGACUUAGGAGAAAACCUGCGUUUUGACCCGUCAUAUGUUUAAACUACCAGAUUUAGCUCUAGGAGCCGAGAUUCGAUUGUAUCGUUGCAGUAUUAGUGCGAUGGAUAUCUGGGGUAGUUUAGAAGGCAUUUACGCUCGUGCUGGGAUGCCGAGCUUAUUUUUCAGCAGAGUUUAGGCUGUUUCGGGUCGUUGGGUGCCGUUCGGGUUAGCGGUGGACCCAGAUUCUUGUUUUGGUCACAGAUUGUGCCGAGGGCACGUGGGUUUGGUUUGUAGGCCUGUUUUUACCCUGUUCACUUGACUUUGGCUAAUUGGAGCCUGUUUGAGCUCGACAUAGAUACGCUGCAUACUCGGUUGGGUAGCGCCCACGAGUGCCACUCCGGAGUUAGGCUUUGUGCUUUCGCGUUGGUGUCGCUCAUGCCGGUUGGACUUACUCUCCACGGACCAGUUAGUGUGGAUAGAGCUGGAUAGUCGCAACUCGGCAGGGACGGGUGUGUUCACAGUCCCAGGGACGGGUAUGUCUACAGUCCCGAUUGGAUUGGGUCAGAUUGGACAUUUCCUACAGUUGGUUAGUGUAGAGCAUGAUAGUGUAGUGUUUGAUAGCGGUAGAUUUUAUUCCUGCAUUUACUACUAUUCUUGCUCCCUUCUAUAGACUUAGUGAGUGGACCGAUGUUGUUUUGGGCGGUACCCACUGAGGACUACUUGUUUUUACAGUAGUUCUCACGCCCUGUUGUUACUUCAUUUUUGCAGAGCCAUCGUCUUCGGCUGCUGCUAUUGCUGAUAAGGAUCGAGGCAAGGGCGUCGCGAGUUAGAGCCCUACCCGACGAGCCGAGCUAGGGGUGCCCUACUACAGGUAGUAGUUUUGUUGGAGUUCAUGUACUUACCUACCUUUAACUCGCCAGUGCGAGUAGUUUUUGUGUAUCUUGGAUUUUGGGGUAUGUAUAUGGAACUCAGUUGGUUUUCUCCGUUUCUCCUAACCAGCUCUAUACUACUGUUUGUAGUAUUGUUUGAUUUACAGAUACAGCUAUCGCUUCGUAUACAGGAAAAAUUCCUUUGUAUACGGCGGAUUUGUCGGCGCGCCCGGGGAACGUGUAAUCCGGGGCGUGACAAGCUCUAUACUACUGGUUGUAGGAUUGUAUAUUUUACAGGUACAACUAUCGCUUUGUAUACAGGAGAAAUUUCUUUGUAUACGGCGGAUUUGUCGGCGUGCCCGGAAAAUGAGUAAUCCGGGGCGUGACAAUAUAUAUAUAUAGUAAAGGUACUAUGCUAUCGGAAGUAUAAAUUAGUUGGUACUUUCGAUUUUUUAGCCCUUGGAUCAAAAAUUAUACGGUUGGGAUGAUAGCAGUCCCCUUAGAGUUGAGUGGUCCCCCUAGGGUUGAGCGGUCCUCAUUGGUCAAUAAUAUUAAUCCAAUGGUUAGAAUAAUCAAUGGAGUUGAUCUAAGGGCUAAAAAAUCAGAAGCACCAACUAGUUUAUAUUUUCGAUAGCUUAGUAGCUCUUCUAUAUAUAAAUAUAUAUAUAUAUAGAGAGAGAGAGAGAGAGAGAGAGAGAGUUGAGCUAGAUCUCUAAAGCACAUGAAGGUAGGUGCUUUUGAAAGAGAUAUUUAGUUCAAUAAUAUAUAUAUUUAUUAUAUACUUAUACUUUAUAUAUAUAUAUAUAUAUAUAUACUAUAGUCGUCUCCGAUACUUUCGAACAAGUACGGGAGGCCCGGUGCUUGUAAGUUGUUUUCGAUGACUAGGACCGUUCCGAUUCGCACGAUCGCUCGUUAGGCUCAUGAUCUUCCUAUUGAGAACUAUCUAGAAUCAAUUUAGAUUUUUUUGACAGUAUUUACUAGCCGAUCAAAGAGUCUAAAAUGAUUUUACGGCGUGUGGAAUUUUUAAUGUGUCAACGGCUUGUUAGAGAGUAUCCAAUAUUACAUGAAUUUAAUAAAAAUUUACUUAAUCAAAGUAGCCGAUAUCAUUUCGAUGUAAAUUUGAAUCUUUUAUCACUUUUUUAUGAGAUUUGUUCAUUUUCUAGCGUUCAUUUUUGGUAACUGUUCCUAGACGCACAAACCGAAAUCAAAAAUAUAUGAAUUUGGUUUUCUAGUAGUUCGCUCCAUGGAUGUAAGUUUUAACAACUGAUCGCUGAAUCGAGAACUGUCCACAUUCAACAAGAUUAACAGAACGGGCCACAGCCCAUCCGCGUUACUUUCGACGCAUAGGAGCCUAGCUCUGUUAUUCUCUAUCUUUCUCUCUCUUAUAUUAUAUAUAUAUAUAUACUAGUUAUAGUCAUGUGCAAUGCCCGUCACAUUUAAUUAAAUUAAAGUUAUAUUUAUAUUUUAAAUUUAAAUAAUUAUUGAUAGUAUUAGUCUAUUUAUCAAUUAAUUUUUUUCUAACUUAAAUUUUUUUAAUUUGUAUCCAAAUUUAAAAAUUUGAAGUAAUUCUAAAUUUUAAAUUAAUGAAUUCAUAUUUAAAUUUAUGAACAAAACUCAAAAUUUGAAGUUAAUUUUGAGUCCAUAUUUGAAUAUAAAUGGUUAUAGAGACAUUGAUUUAUUUAACAUCCCAUCUAUUUUUCAAAUUUGAUAUAUUUUUAAGUUAAUUAAUUAUUUUCAAUUUGAAAUACUAUUUACACACCCAAAUAUUGAAAUUUGAAUUAAUUUCAAAUUUUGAAUAAUUUAAAAUUUAAAGUUGAUUUGAUAAACUUAUUUAAAUCAUUCUAUUUUUCAAACUUAAUUUUCUUUUAGUUAGUUAAUUGAGAGAUAGUGAAUACUAAAUAUUUUCAAUGUGAGUUGCGUAGAAUUUUUUUUUGAUGAGUAUGGAAUAUUUUUUUAUGGGGCACUUGUGAAAAAUAUUCAACAGUAGAUAUUUUUAGAUUGACAUAAAGUUGGAUAAGUAUGAAUUUUUUUUAUAUUCUCGUAAAUGAAAUGCAAUAUUUUUUCCUAUUAAAAAAAGGUCUGUCAACAGCUAUUUUAUUAAUAAUCCCAAAUCAAUAUAAAUUUGUGAAUCACAUUUAUUUACAAAUUUAAAAUUUUAAAUUAUAAAUUCUUAUAUUAUAUUUUAUUAAAAAAUAUCUCAUAUUUUAAAUAUUAGUAGAUAAAAUUUAGAUAAUUUUUAUAUAUUCACCUUUAAAAAAAUAUAAUUAAAUAUUAUAUAUGCGGAAGGUAUUAUGUGAUAGGAUAUUAUGUAGGCCGUAUUACGUGUGAGAAAGAAAAUAUUUAAAAAAUUCUUAAAUUGCAAAUAUUAUUUAUGAUAAAAAAUAGAUAUUACGUGGGCUACGGUUAUUAGAAGAUAAGGUGCGCAUAUAAAAUGUAAAAUUCAAUAUGCACUUUUUGAGGGCAAUUCAGAUAAAAAAAGUGACAGAUACUUAAAUCGUCAACUAUUGGAUUAAAUUCGAAGACUAAGAAUUAAUAUAUUUUAUGAUAAUUUAAAAAUAAAAUAUAAAUUGUACGGUUAUGAUUUAUUCUAUUAAACUUGAAUGAAUGAUAUUGCUAGUAUGCGAUUGGAAUUAUAUUAAUAGGGAGCGAUAUUUUGGGAAAGAAAAAAAUUUUAAAACUUGCUCUUUUAUAAGUAGUAUAUAUAUAUAUAAUAUUUACUAAGGAUCUAGGAUACUUUUACAAGCUAUCCAUCCCCAUCUUAUUGCUAUUCAACUUUUUAGCCAUUGGAGUCUACUUUUGUUUACAAAUAGCCCUUGGAUCAAACACUAUUCCACCUACCACCACCCUACCACCUACCUACCACCCAUCUAUCCAACCUUUCACAUCUUCUCCAUCCAAGGCUAAAAACACACAAGUACCACUGGCUGAUACUUGUAACAAGUAUUCUACCCUACUCAUAACUAUAUAUAUAUAUAUACUGCUCUAUAUAUAAUAUGACUACAUACUACGGUAUACUAUGAUAUAUAUAUAUAUAUCAUAUAUAUAUAUAUAUAUAUUAAUUACUAUAUUAUAGAUCACAGUGGGUUUAACGGAGCCCGAUCCGACGAUUUCGAAGUCGCAAGAUCGAAACGAGCCUGGAGCACGGAAGGCUCCAGUGCUUCCGAUCAUAUAUGGUCUCCGUGCUUCCGAUAAUAAUACUAGAUGUAGGUCUACUAUACCUUAUCGUAAGCACGGAGCCUUUCCGUGCGUUCCAGCUCGUUUCGCAUCUUGCGACUUUCCAAUCCGUCCGAUCGGCCUCCCUUACACACUUUGAUCUAGACGUAUUGAAGUACCCUACGAAAUAAAUUUACUGACUUUCUACGAUAUAUUUGCUUACGUGAACGCAAGGGCGCUCAAAAUCAACGGCUACAAAUAAAAAUCCUUACAUAAAAUGUAAUAUGAUGACACUUAAACAUUUUAACAAAGAGGGUCAUUGAUCUUCGUUCUAUACCUACUGUCAAAAAAUUUUUCUAUCAAAAUUUCACGCCGACUUCUGGAUAUCUUUUAACACCCGUUAAAACUUGCAAACGGCUCACCGCGCCAUGCUACAAUUUGUUGAUUUGAGUCCCAUUCGCAUCACUACGGCAAAUGAUCAAUCCGAAAGAAUAAUAAAUUUAUUUUCUAGUACUCCCAAACUACUCUAAAUCAAGCUUUAACGAGCCGAUCCCGACGAAUUCGAAAGUCGCAAGAUCGACAACCGAGCCGCGAAGCACGUAAGGCUCCGUCGCUUCCGAUUAGCAAUAGUAGCCUCACUCUAUACUAUAUACUAUUAUAUAUAUAUAUAUAUAUAUAGUAUUCUAGCCUAUCAAUCUCAACCCAUACCCGCUAGUGCUCGCGGAUUACACGCAAAUUUGCGGGUAUAGACACCAAUUUUUUCAACCUAAAAAAUUACAGAUAAAAAAUUAUGAAACUAUAUUCGUUUAGUGUCAAAUGAAUCCUCUACCAUUUUAGUAGCAAUAGGAAAUUAAUUUGAAAUACACACAAAUAUCCUCGAAGCCCCUAUGGUGGGCAAAACCCAAGCUUUGCUCGACGCGGUACUCAACCACCACCCACCCUCCUUCCCUCUCCUUUUUCCCCGAGUCCAACAAACGUUUUAAAUGUCCCAAUCAAUUCAUCUCUCUCUCUCUCUCCCUCCAUUACCCCGUCCCACCUCUCAUUUCUCCGCUCCAAAAGUUAAUCAUACUCCACACACCUCCAAAAUAAGAACCAUCCACCUCCUACCCCCUUAAUUCCCCUAUAUUUUUAAAGUUCGUCAAGAACCAUCCACCUCCUACCCCCUUAAUUCCCCUAUAUUUUUAAAGUUCGUCUCUCUCUCUCUCUCUCUCUCUCUCUCUCUCUCUCUCUCACUCUAAUUACUUCUUGCGUUAUAAUACGUUAUGCUUGAGUGAGACUAACUCUUUCUUGGCUCCCAUCUUGCUCUCUCCUUUCUCUUUGUGGACUCUUGUACGUAGUGGUUGUGAGCUCCCCCACCAAACAAGCCAAAUAAUCCCGAUCGAGAAGGCACCCAACUCACUACGUACCUCCUCUUCACUUGGGAAGAAGAAAGAGGGGGAGGGGGAGGGGGAGGGAGAGGAGACGGAUCAAGGUGGAAAUGGGCGGCGAGAGGAAGAAUUCGCUUCUUACUCUCGCCGGGCGGGUGCUGAAUUGUGCGGUGAGCUUUGUCGUGUUCUCCGUACUCGACGUUCUCGAUAUAAUCCUCUGCAUUGUCUACAAGCUCAUCGAUUAUGCCGUUGAGGCCGAGUGGAAGCCGUGCUACUGCUCGGCCUCCAAGGACAUGGUUGCCGGCAGCGGCAGCGGCAGCGGAGGCGGGCCAAAGGUGGUGCGGCUCUGCUCGUCGAAGCUCCAGCUGGAGGACGUCUCCGACACGCUGUACGCGCGUCCUUCAGUCGUCAUGGACGCUGCGAGGAAGGCGGGAACCACCGGCAGCGGCGCAUCAGUUGUCGUGAGCCCGGCACCGGCUGCGCCGACGUUCCGGGUCAGCACUGGUGUUGCGGAGAUGAUCCGAGGGAAGAUCGACCGGCAGCGGCCUACGCGGCCGGUGCCCUGCUGGUCCGACUGCUGCUGUAAGAUCUGCAAUUCGUGGAGCACCGCCGCGACCCCUUCCCAGCUUUACGUUCACGUGGAGGGCCCAAGAGGUAAAUGCUGCAUGCCCGAUCGAGUUAGGAUCCGGCCGGUAAAACGCAAACGGUAGUGUAAAUUUUAAAAACCUUACUUUUACCAACUAUAUAUAUAGUCGAUCGGUUUAGAAAUGAAAAAAAAUGCAUAUUGGUACGUAGUUAAUGAUCAAUGAAUUUGUGAUAUAUAUAUAUAUAUAUAUAUAUAUAUAUAUAUUGAAUCGAGAAAUGUGCACGCACAGUAUUGUCAUGCAUCUUUUUAAGUUUUUAAACACGUACUACUAGUCUGUAUAAUUUAAUAUAUUUAUCAAAAAAGAUUAUUGUUCUCAUUUUUAUCGGGCGAAAUAGCUAGUAGAUAAUAAUUUUUAAAAACAUUUUUAAAAGUGAAAAAUUUUAAUUAUUUUUUAAUUUCAUUUCUUAUUGCGAGAUGUAGUAUUUUGGAUGAAAAAAUCAAGCGUCUUAUCUAAAAGUUUACCAGGAGGUCGAACACGGGCAGCGUGCGUAAUGCAUGUGCUUAAUCCAACUAAACUAAAUGACGUCAAUGUUAUACGUACGUACAUUUUAAUUUGAAGAUUAUGUCGUCAUUAAAAUAUUUAUUUGGUGUUCCGGAGGGAAUAUAUAUAUAUAUAUAUAUAUAUAUAUAUGCUACAGAAAUUUUGCUCAUUAAUUAAUUUGCACAGAUGGUACGCAAUCUCGUAAUAUUAUUAUUUUGCGACUAUUAAUUAAAAUUGCCGAUCGACUGAUGAGUGGGCGUGCAUUAACGAAAUUGAGCAGACGGGGCGGCGGUGCCGGCGACGGAGGACGUGGUGUUCAUCCACGGAUUCAUCUCGUCGUCGACGUUCUGGACGGAGACGGUGUUUCCGGCAUUCAGCGAGCUGACAAAGUCGAGGUACCGCCUCUUCGCGAUCGACCUGCUGGGGUUCGGGCGCAGCCCGAAGCCGACGGACUCGCUGUACACUCUGCGGGAGCACCUGGAGAUGAUCGAGAAGUCGGUGCUGAAGCGGUUCGAGAUCGGGAGAUUCCACCUGGUGGCGCACUCGCUGGGGUCGAUCCUGGCCCUGGCGCUGGCGGUGAAGCACCCGGAGGCGGUGCGGUCGCUGACGCUGGUGGCGCCGCCCUACUUCCCGGUGCCCAAGGGGGAGGAGAGGGCGGCCGGGCAGUAUGUGAUGCGGCAGGUGGCGCCGCGGAGGGUGUGGCCGGCCAUCGCGUUCGGGGCGUCGAUGGCGUGCUGGUACGAGCACGUCAGCAGGACCAUCUGCCUGACCAUCUGCAAGCACCACCGCCUGUGGGAUCUGCUCUUCCGACUGCUCACCCGCAACAGGUAUGUAUGUGUGCUCUCAGCCAAUUACACACACCUAGCUAGCACUUAAUUAGCACUUGCCUUGCCUAAUUCCCUUUCCCUUUCCCUUUCCGUUUCCGUUUCCCUUCCUCUAGCUGUGCGUUGUGUUUGCUCUUUCUUCCGUCUCCAACCGUUUCGGUGGCUCCGCUUUUAUUAUUCUCGCCUCGUAUUUAUUCCUUCCCACGUUAUUGGCUUCUCACCCUCUAUUUUGCGCUCCACGUGCCCGGUCCCACAUAAAUAACAACCUGUUUAAUUCGUCCAACACUAGUGCUGCAGGUACACACAAUAUCGACGGAAGAAAAAUGCUACUAGCUAGCUAGCUAUAUAAGGUUAGAAUCAAAUCAAAUCAAAUCAAAUCAAAUCAAAUCAAAUUCGCAUGGUUGGAUUAAUGUGAUCCCUCUUAUUAAUUAAUAUUUAUUUAUUUUAUUUAUUUAUUUAUCACCUCUUUAAAUAUAAAAAUAUAAUAUAAUUAAAUUCAGCAAUACAACAAUUAACGACGUUUUAAUUAAGAGAGAUAUUGCGGAAAAAUCCAAAGCAUUUUUUCCUUUGUCUCGACGAAUAUUAAUUUAUAUAGAAGAUUCCAAAAUAUUAUUUUUCUAAACUGUUGAUGGGCAAGUUGAGAUGCAUGGUAUAUAAGAUUUUGUUUAAUGUAUACAUGCAAUUUUAAUAUAUAUGCUGUAUAUAUAUAUAUAUAUAUAUAUAUAUAUAUAUAUGAUGUUAGCAGAUAUAUAGCAAUGCGGCAAUAUAUAUAUAUGGUUCCCUUUUCCUGAUUCAAAAGUUAAACGGUGAUAUAUCGAUUGCAUGUCGCUAAUUAAAAACUAGCUAGCUAGCUAGUAUAAUAUAGUUAGUUUAAAUCACCGGCCGAUCGAAUUAGUAAAAUUUUGAAUCAUGUACAUUUUAAGCACCUGUCGACUUUGGCUUUAACAAUCAUCGUAUGAUAUGAUUUUUUGUAGUUAUUGCCAAAUCGAUCAUACUUGUGAGCCGCCCGCUCCGUUUGAAUUAAAUGGUAGACAGCACCAAAUAAUUAAGAAGUUAUUGGAAUUCAUUUGAUAUUUUAUUCUCUCACCCACACAGUAGCAAAUUCGGUUUUCCCCGUGGGGCCACUGAGUAUAUAUAAGGUCUGCUUUAUCUGUUUUGCCUCUGGUUUCAAUGGCAACAAUAAUUACCGUGCUUGAUAAAAAAUAAUUAAAAAUUCUGCUGUAGACAGAAAAUUUUGAGCCUCCAAACAAGAAAUUCCGACUGAUACUUUCGAUUAUAUAUACGCGACACUAACUGAAUGUAAUAGUUAUAUGUAUAUAUUAUUAUAUAUAUAUAUAUAUAUAUAUAUAUAUAUAUAUAUAUAUAUAUAUAUGAAAUAUAAUAGGAAUAAAUCUUUUAAUCAGGUUAUAGCAUUUUAGGUGAUUGUUACGCCCAAAUGGUUAAGAAAAAUUAAACGUGCUAGGGUUAGAAUAAUCAUAGAAUGUGUGACGCCCUAGAAAAUGGGGUAUUACAGUGGGUAUUAGAGCCAAUUACCAGCCGAAAAUAUUAGAUAAAUGUCGGCUGAGCCAAAAUUAUAUAGCGAGCUCAUCGGCAGAUCAUAGUUGUGGGUGGAGCACGACUCCCCACAAGGUCAAACGAGACCCCACAAGGUCAAAUGAGAUGAGUCUCAAAUCGCCUAUUGCUUGUGAAUAUGUUUAAGCCUAUCGAGAACGUCGAUAUAAUAGCACUGAAAUAGUUUUAUAUAUGAGAUAUAAUAAAAUAAGAUCAUUUUACCCGAAUAUAGCAUUUUAGGAGUGGCUAGCUAGGUUAAUUUAAGAGAUUAGGAGAUUUAAGCAUGCUAGGACUAAAUGGGCGACUCAUUGGAAAGUGGGGCAUAAUAGUUGAGGAUUGUGGAUCUAAAGUUUCAAUUUUGUUUGUGUCCAAAAGUUAUAAUUUUUUUCCUUAGAAUUUAUUUUAUUUUAUUUUUUGAGUUUUAAUAUUAAAGAAUAUUUUGGAUGAAGUUAAAAUUAAUAUGUGAUAACAGAUCAAGAACUUUGUAGCAAGAAACAGUUGGAAAGUUCCCUAUUAAAAUUUUAUUAAUUAGUUUUUUAGUUUCCCCCGCCCUUAUUUUGAACGGCAGCUUACGAGCUGUCAGAGCCGCGAAGAAAUCGAUGGCCUGACAUAUAUGGUAGGAGUACGUUACGUUUACUUUGCGUAACGACCUCUGAGGUCCUGCCGUGGGAGUGCGGGACGUCGGGUACGAAAUGCGGGAAACAGCUUCGGGUUUCGUACCACCGCGAUCGAGUAGGAAAACCAAGUCAAAUUUUCCACAUAUAUAUCAGGUAGGUUAAUUUCUAAUUGGGAGACGUUAGAUCGAGGAAAAAUUCUAGAAUGCAACGGGUAUAUUAGUGACGUGGCGUAACAAACCAAUCAAAUUAAUUCUUUUAAAAAUAUAUGUCCCAUCAUGAUUGUAAAAAAGUAUUUUUAUUGUAUUUUUGUUUGAAAAGAAGGAAUGUGAUUGGCUUGUUAUUGAUGACGUGGUGCAAGUGUGACAGUGUAGAAUUCCUCUAGAUCGAGACACGUAAAAAUAAGUAAUAACCGAAAGUAAUGUCAGUGGAAACAUAUAUAUAUAUAUAUAUAUGUAUAUAUAUAUAUAUACACAUAUAUAUAUAUAUACAUAUAUAUAUAUAUAUAUAUAUAUAUAUGAUAUAUAUAUAUAAUAUAGAGUGGGCAUAUAUAUUAUAUAUAGAGUGAAGUGAGGCUACUAUGCUAUCAGAAGUCGGAGCCUUCCGUGCUUCCAGCUAGUUUUUGAUCGUUGCACUUCGAAUUGUCGAUCGGUCUCCGUUAAACUUGAAUUCUAUGAGUAUUUGGGAGUACCUACAAUAAUGCGAUAUGGUGCGUUUGCUUCGUUUAACGGAUAGAAGAGCUUCAAAUCAACUAAAAUUUUUUGUUUAAAAAAUCUUUUUAAACUUUUAAAAUAAAAACGAUCUAGACUCUAGAUCCAAAUAUAAAAAAUUGUAUUAUCACUUUUUUCAAGGAUAGUUAUUUCCAGCCAUUUAUUUUUCUGUUUCACUUGAUGGACAGAGAACAAUAUCUGAAAAUGUGUGUUGAAAUUUGGAUUUCCAGGAUAGUUUAAGUAGUUUUAUGAUCUGUGUUGUAACAGUGCCGAUCAUCAAUUUGGAAGCCCUAUAUCAAAACAAAUCGGUAGCUAACGGCUCGUUUUACUACGAUAGUUAUUCUAGCAAAACCCUAUAUUAUAUAGUAUAUAUAUAUAUAUAGAUGAGAGGAGAGAGAGAGAGAGAUGAGGAGAGGAGACGAUGAGAGAGAGAGAGAGAGAACGAGAGAGAGAGAGAGAGGGAUGGAGGAGGGGAGGGGAAGUUGAGCUGGGAAUACUAUCGGUAGCAAACGCGGCUCCGUGCACCAUUUGUUUUCGAUGAUGGGAGCCUCCAAAUCGACGAUUAGUGCCGUUAAAAAUGCAUCAGUAUUACACUUGAUAUGGUAUUCUGAGAAUCAAAUUUCAUGCUUUUCCGAAUAUUUUCUCUUGUUCACUCAAGUGGGCGGUAUAAUGAGAUGGCUAAAAAUGAAUAUCAUCUACAAAAGUGAUGAUAGGAAUUGUUCUAAUCAAGGAUCGAGGUAGUGAGAUCUUGUUCUAAAUAGUUUAAAGAAUUUUAAAAUAACGAAAAUAUUCAAUUGAUUGGAUAGGUUACACGUAAACGAGAAAACCCUAUAUUUGACCAUUAAAAUUUACAAAUUUUUGAAACCCUUUGAAUCUAUUAGGUCAGAUGGAUGCGUCGGAGAAAGAUUUUGAAAUUAAUUUCGAGAUACUUCAAAGUGGUAUAGAUCAUGAUUCAACCGCCAGGGCUUACCGAUUAUCGAUUUGGAGGAUCUAAUCAGCUGAAAUUUAAAUGGAUGGCACAGGGGAGCCGUUGCUAUCGAUAGAUUCUACCUCAAACUUCUAUAUAUAUAUAUAAAUAUUAUAUAUUAGUCCGGCUAGGGGGGAUACUAUCGGGGAUAGCGCACAAGGAUUUGGUCAUCAAGUUGUUCUGCCGUUUCUUACAUUUACCUUUUUAUCAUUUUAUCCAUUGAUUAUACUAUUCAACGCAACACCCAUCAACAUAGAAGGACCCCAUCCAUCCUAACUAUACAUUUUUUAAUCCAAAAGGACAGCCAAAACUUAAUGUACCAGAUAUGGUACUAUUAAUAGUAUUCCAGCUAGUUAUUAUAUAUAUAUAUAUAUAUAUAUAUAUAUAUAUUAAUAUUAUAUAUAUAUAUAUAUAUAUAUAUAUAUAUAUAUAUAGGCUUGACGCUAGGAAUACUCUCAGAUAGUAAAAUGAUUGCAUAUUUACUAUCGAGUUGUUUUCGAUCAUAGAGCUUCCAAAUUGACGAUCGGCUCCGUUGAACAUGAUCUAUACCACUUGAAGUGUUUAGAAAUCAAAUUUCAAAUCUUUUCGACAUCAUUUGCCUAAUGAUCAAAGCGUUUCAAAAUUUGUAAUUUUAAUGGUGGAUAAGAAACGUUUUCUCGUUUAAUGGUGUAAAGAUAUCCAAAUCAAUUGAAUUUUUGUUAGAAAAUUCUUUAAACUAUUUAAAACAAGAUCUAUACUCUUGAUCUUGAUUACAAGACUCCUAUCAUCAUUUUUUAAAGAAUAUUCAUUUUCAACCAUUCAUUUUCUGUUCACUAGAUGGAUAAAAGAACAAUGUCGAAAGUGCGUGAAAUUUAAUUUCUCGAUAGUUUAAAUGGUUUAGAUCAUAUUUAACGGAGCCGAUCGUCAAUUUGGAAGCUCUAUCAUCGAAAACAACUCGAUAGUAAAACGCUCCGUUUACUAUCGAGAGUAUUCUAGCUCAACUCUAUAUAUAUAUAUAUAUAUAUAUAUAUAUAUAGAUAUAUAUAUAUGCUCACUCAUGAUUAAAUAUUAAAAUAAUCUUUUGAAUAUUUAGACAGUACUGGUUUAUGCCGCUUCGUUAAUUAGGUGCUAGGUGAUCUUUUCUUUUCUUUUCUUAUCUUUUUUUUGAGAAAAAUCUCUUUAUGAAUUACCAAGAUAUAUAAUUGUGCCAAAAUAUUAGUCGAUUUUGUAUUGCACUAAAGUGACGUACAAGGGUUCAAUUACACCAAUCUCCUAAGGCUCUAUUCGAAAGUGGGUUAUUCGGUAUAAAUAUUUUCUUAUGUGAUUGUAAGAAAGAAAUUUAAUUUCUGCUCCUUGAAAGAUUUUAAUAUCUAUGAUUUGGUAGGAUAACGUAUUUCACUUAUGAGAUAUUUAUCUUAUCCGAAAAAAUAAUUUAAAGGCUGAAUAUAAUAUUUAAUUUUAGACAUUUGAUCAUGCUCCUUAUCUACCAAACAUACAAACUUUUUAAAUAAAUUAUGAAGAUAUACUAAAUAAGAUAUUCGUACAUCCAAAUAAUGCCUAACUGUAUGAAUCUCGCCAAUAGUCCUAUUUACUUCUAAGUAAUAUUAGUAGGCAUAGUAGUACUAUGGGCAUGUUUUAUUUCGGGAUAAAGAGCGAGCAAUUAACUAAAGUUAUCCCCUACUAUUCCAUCACACCUUUUAAAGGAAAAAGAAAAAAAACUGAAUAGUUAUUCUGAUUAAACCAUGGUAUUCUAAAUAAUCCAAAAAUAAUCUCAAAAUAAAUUCUCCACAUUUCCAAUGGUAUAGGGCUAUUCUUAAUUAUGAUCGUCUUAGAUUAUUUCGGACAAUUCAAGUAAGAAAAAUGUAUGCCUAUAUCGUAUAUUACAUAUAUAUUUAAGUAUAUUAAUUAUAGAGAUAAUUUAAUGAAUGUUCCGUUACUAUAAUAUCGUUAUACUCUCCUAAAUUUAAUAUUAUUAUAGUGUCCGGCUACUAUGCUAUCGGUAGCACGGAGCGCUUCGUACUAUCAAGUUGUUUUUGAUGAUACGGCUUCCAAAUCGACGGUCGGCUCCGUUAGACUGAUCUACACUAUUGAAAGUAUUUGAAAACUAAAUUUUCGAUUUUUUCGACAUUAUUUGACUAGUGAUCAAAAGAUCUCAAAAUUGACAAUUUUAAUGGUCGAUGUGGUAUGUUUGUGAGUUUAACGGUGUAAAACAAUCCAAAUGCUAUGAAAAUUUUAUAGAAAAUUCUUUCCACUAUUUAGAGUAAGAUCAGUAUAUCUGAUCUUGAAUUUAAAUCUUUUAUCAUCGUUUUUCAUGAGAUUUUUAUUUUUAGCCGUUCAAUUGUAGACUACUUGAUUGAUAGGUAAAUGAUAUCGAAAAAUUAUGAAAUUUAGUUUCUAAAUACUUUCAAUAGUGUAGAUCAAGUCUAACUGAGCCGAUUGUCGAUUUGGAAGCCGCAUCAUCGAAAACAACUUGGUAGCACGGAGCGCCGUGCUACCGAUAGUAUAGCAGCCUAGUUCUAUUAUUAUAUAUUCCUAUUAAAUGGUCAUGAAUAUCAUGAAUAUUUUCCUAAUAGUUAGUCUCUAUCCAAAAAUACCCUUCAUAAUUUUAAAAUGCCAAGUUUACUCUUUAUCCAUUAUUUAUUUAUGCUCCUUAAAUUUUCUAUCUGUUGAUAUUCAAAACGUUUCAAAAUUACUCUCAAAAUUUUUUGCCGAUAAUUUUCACCAUCAUGUAUAAAUCACACCGAUAAUUUAAAUUUGAAUAUAAAAUUUAAAUUUAAAAUUCAAGAUCUAAGUUUAAAUUUUGAAUUUGAAUUUAAAAUUUCAAGUCUAUUGUGAAUAUAAAUUCUAAUUUGAAAUUCAAAUUCAAAAUAUGUUCAUAUUUUGAAUCUGAAUUUCAAACGGAAAGUUUGAAAUUAAAUCUAAAACUAAUUCAAAAUCUAGAUUUGGAAGUAAAAUUAAGGACACAAUCUCUAUUUGAAUUCAAAAUUGAAAUUGAAUUUAAAUUCAAAUCUAGAAUUAUAAUUUAAAUUUAAAAUUUGAAAAAAUUAGGUUUAAAAUUGAAAUUCAAUUCAAAUCUAGAUUUUCACUUUAGAGAAUCUAAGAUUAAAAUUUAAACUAAAGUUUGAAUUAAAAAACUAACUAUAACUUUUGAGACUAUUUAAGGAUAAAAUUUAUAUUUUAAAACUUAAUUAGCAUUAAUUAAAUUAGUCUCAAACUAAGGUUAGGGUAACACUCCAUAGUGUGAGAUAAUGAGGGACGAUUAUAUUGGAAGGUUAUAUGUGAUAUUGUAACACCGUGUGAUGUAAUGUAUACUAUAACAAAUUGUAUUAUAAUAAAAAGAACAAUAAUCUAAUUAUCAUUAUCAUUACUACUGCUACCACACACCACCACCAUUGUAUUAUUAUUACAUGAUUCUACAAAAAAAAAAUAGCAUUUAUGUUGUAAGAUAUAAUGAUAUGUUACAAUUUAUCUUCAACUGUUUACUAACUACAUAUAUAUUUUUCUAUUAGCCCCCACUAUCCUGGAGGUAAAUACUAAAUACAAUUUAAUUAUACGUAGGAAUAAAUAAAAUUGAAAUACACAUAAUUUUACACGUAUUUCUAUCUAUUAUCGUAGAAUAAUUAAGUUUCUCAAAUAACAAUAUUUCUUAGGAAAUUGUCUUAAAACCAAACAUAGUCUAUAGGAAUAAUGUGAACUGUGAAUAAGAAUCUUAAGGAUCUAUAUAUGGAACCAUUCUUACACAUAUAUUCCUCAAAAUUUAAUAUUAAUUUUAUUGCUAAACUGCUAUUUUUGUAAGUUAAUUACUACUAGAUCUACAAUCCAAACUGGAUUGCAAUAGUACAGUACCCUUAUUUAAAGAUCAAAUUAAUUUUCUCUACUAACCCUAGCCCCUGUGUGGAUCAUUGUUCUCUUCAUUGGGAUUUUAGACAGUGAAAAUGAAUUUCCUUUCUUUCGCAAUUCGCAUCGCAUAGAAAUUAAGCAGUAGGAAACUCAUUUUACACUGAUUAAUUAGCCUCGCGGCCCGUGAAAUUUCUCUAUAUAUGGGUUUACGUAGUGGAGUUUUUUUUUUUUUUUUUUUUUUUUUUUGAGAGAUAGGUACGUAGCACGCUACCCGCUUCGUUUAUUUCAUUUAGAAAUAAACUUAGCUAGAAAUGUGAAUCAACUAGAAUUCGAAGUUGGGUCUCGGAUACCAACCACUAAACUCUUUGCCACUUGCUCUAUAUAUGGGUUUACGUAGUGGAGUUAAUUUGAUGAACUAUUUAUUAAUGUGCUGUACAUGGUACAAAAUUAGUUGCAAUCAAUUCUGGUACCAUAUACAACAAAUUAAAAGUUACCUACCUCUUUUAACGAUUGUUGACAAGUUACUUAAUUAGCGUCUUCGAGUCCAGUGAGGAACUUAAAACUAAUUAUAAGAAUGAGUAAACUUUAAGGAAACUAAUUUUUCAUCGUUUACUUGUUUGUAUAACCUAUAUAUAUACAUAGAAUUGCCCAAACUAUAGAAUAACUAAUUAAUUGCUUAGAAGCUAGCUAGCUAUAUGUUGACGAUCUCUUCACCUAACCGAAUAGUAGUGUAGACCCAAAAUAUGUGAUUAAUUUUACGUACAUAAGCAAACUGAAGAGUGUGGGCAUGAAAGAAGACCGGAAGAAACUAAAUAUUACUACGCAAGGUGAUCGAUCGGGGAGAGCUAUAGCUAGCUAGGUGUGAAACUGCAGGGUGGGUUUAUCAUGAAUUUGCAAUUAAUUAAAUCUUGAGCAAUGCUCAUAUAUAUUCUAAGCACACGUACAAGAAAAAAAAAAAGAAAAGGAGAAGAAAUAAAAAAAAAAAAGAGCAAACGUACGGUAGGAGUAAAAUCUUAAAUCUUACUUAUUUAAGGGCCGGGUCAAUAUUUUUUCACUAGUUUUAUUAUCAUUUUUUAAAUAUUAUAAAUUUAAAAUGCGUGUCCUAGUUAAUUUUUAUGUGGACGAGCGCAUAAACUUAAUGGUGCUCUCCUUCCUUUGGGAUGUACGUAUAAUAUUUCUCUUAAAUUUUAGACCUCUAGCUUUGUAGCUAGCAGGCUGUUGAAAAAAAAAAAAAGAAAAAAAAAAAGAGGUUAGAGAAAAACCCCACCCACAGCUAGCCCACAUAGGUAGAUAAAUUAAAACAGAAACAAUGGUAAUUAAUGAGGGAGGUGAAAAGCAAGGGACUUGCUAAAAAAUUGGCCCAACAUAUGGUAAUGAGUAGUAUUAUUAAUUAGUACAUCCACUUCUACGGAGCCCGUUAAAUUGAGCAAGUACGGCUGAAUUCUGACGCUCAAGGUGAAAAUGGUUGUACAUUUAUCUAUUAAUAUUAACGCAUCUCUCACCGUCAAAACCUUUUCUGUCAAUAAUACAAUAGAUAUAGUUAGUUCCUGUUUUAUACAUAUAUAUAUAUAUAUGGAUCAGUACCUAAUCUAUAGGCUUAUACUAAUUUUAGGGUAUGUUCCGUUCGCCCUUCUUUCAUUCUGGAAUCGGAACGAACAAAUUCGUUUGUCCGUGUUUAGUAUGCGAAAUUUUCAUUCCGAUUUUGAUUUUCGGAUGAAUGAAAAUCUCCCAAAUUACCCUUUUUUUAAUCCGGUCUAGAAGGCCGGAUUGAAAAUUGAAUCGUGGCGGAAUGAAUUUGUUAGGAUUAAAUUUACCCUUUUUAAACUUAUUUUUUUAAUUAAAACAUACAUAAUUUUAAGUUUAAAAUUUAUAUUUACAAAUUUUAAUUUUAACUUAAAUUAAAAAUUAAAAUUCAAUCAACCAUUUCGAAUUUAAUUUAUAAAAUUUAAUUUGAAUCCUAAAGUUUUAUUCAAUUUUUAUUCAAAAUUUAAAUUAAAUUCAUGGAUUCAAAUUGAAAUUUAAAUUAUAAUGUUAAGUUUGAAUUUGAAUAUUUCAAAAUUUAGUUUUAUAUUUUGAAUUCUCCGUUCAGUUUUCAAUUUUAAUUUUUUAAAAAAAAUAUAUUUAAAAUUUUGACAUCAUUUUAAAAUUUUUACAUAAAAUUUUAAUACUUAAUUUUCAGUUUGAAUUUACACUGAUAUAUUAUAAAAAUAAAAUUGAUAUAUUAAUUUAAUUAUGUUUCUGAUAUCUAUCCGAAUCAAGCACCAGCAAUGAUUUAUUCCGAUUCCGAUUCAGACGGCGAUCCAAACAGAAUGAGAUAGUGACUCAUUCCGAUUCCGUCUCCAGCUUAUUUUCCCUCCGACUUCGAUACCGAUUCCGACUUCGAACCAAAUACACCCUUAGAGAAAGAAGUCUAUGUACCGGAGUCAAAUUCACAACUACUGCAGUGGAAAGAUUAGAUUGCCGGCACUAUAGUAAUAUUAAAUAAAAAUAGUAGAUUAAUGGUAUUUUUGUAAUAGUAAAUAAAAAUAGCAGAUAAUAGCUAGGAGUAAACAAAAAAUAUUGUUGUUGUUAAUAAGGGAGGCAAAAGACAACCCAAGUUAAUUAGUUGGCCCAUGCACCAAUCCGAAAGAUAAUCAGAUCUAGACAAACAUGCAUUUUGUCUGAAAAAUUGGGUUCUCAUAAUUCACUUUGUACUGAUUAAAAUUCUCUGUUUGGAUUCGGAUAUAAAAAUUCAGACAAACUGGGCCAAUGGUCCGAGUUUGGACUAACAGCUUAAAUAAUAAACUACCUUGAAUUAUAUUAAACUACUGCUUAGUUAUUUCAAGAGAUAUAUGAAUUAAGUAUCUCUAAGAUUAUAAUAUUAAUUAAAUCUAGCUACUACAAUCCUUAAUUUGUAUUUUUUUUUUCUUUUGCAUGUGAAAUGAUUUUAAUCAAAUAAAAAUCGUUAAAAAAAUUAAAUUAAAUUUUUUCCUAAUUCAAUUUGAGAAUUAUCUAAUAAAAGAUAUAAAUAUCGAUCGAGUUGCUGAUCUUUAUGGCGUUGUUUGACUUUAUUUAGAUUUGAAACUAUUUGACUUCAUUGUGGUAUAAGUAAAUAUGAGAAUUUGUGGUUUAUUAAUUUCUAAUUUUAAAAAAAAAAUUGUCAAAAUGGGCGCAAAAUUAGAAAAAAAAAAAUUACAAUAUAAUUUUAUUUGAUUUUUUUUUCAAAAAAUCAAUUUAUAAUAAUUUCAAUUCUAAUGAAAUAAAAUAAAUAUAUAAACUUUAAAUCAAAAUUAUAAAAGCAUUUAAAGUACGUACAAAAGUAUUUUUAAAAUGCAAAAUAUCGGGUUAUUAUUGAAAAAAAAAAAGAAGUGACAGAACUAUAAAAUAAUUCACUCUUCUAUAUACAGUAUAGAUAUUAUUAUUAUUAUUAUUAUUAUUAUAGAUACUAAUAAUAAUAGGUAUCGAUGGAUGGAUGGAUGGAUAGAUGGAUGGAUAUACGUACGUGGCAUGCAUAUAUACAAGUGGGUCCAGAUCCGGUUUUAAACUGGGUCUGAUCAUUAAUUUGAAUAUAUAUAUAUAUAUAUAUAUAGUGUAUAUAGUGUAUGCGCUAGCUAGCUGUGUGAAAAUUUUUUAUUAUCCCUAGCUAGCUAGUAAUUAUCGGACCCCGGCCGGCUUGAUGGGUACGUGGGUCGGUAGGUGAAUUUUUAUUCUUGCACACAAAUUAAUUUUAAGUGUUGAGGUGCCGCGCGGCCAUUAAUUAGCGACGAAUCAUUAAUCCACGAGUGUCGUAAUCAAUGAACAGCAUGCAUGUAGCUAGCUAGGCACGAGCAUAAUUAAUUUGGAGGGUGGAGAUAGUUAUGUAUGCUGCCUACCUGGAUGUGAUGAAUUUGAUUUAUGACAGCUAAGUUCGUUAGGACGGUGGUGGAUCCGCUCGCGAGUAAUUGCACGCGAAUUAACACCUCCCACGACCCAUUUUUUCACCGAAUCGGCCGUUUCGAUCGCGUGCGUCCAUCGAAAACCUAAUUUCUUUCUGAUUCUAUUAAUUGUUCAUAUAUAAGAGACAUCUAUCUUUAUACAAGGGAGAGAUCGGAUAAUUAAUUCGGUACAUGGUAUAUAUAUACAUGGAGACAUCUCUAUAUAGUAUACAAUUAUUAUACGACGAAAUUUCUUUUCUCCGAUCGAUAAUAGUGAAGAUGUAAAUGAAAAUAUUUAUUUAUAUAUGUUGACGCUCCCGCAAACUCAAGACGGGUCAAGCACCACAAGAGUUUGGGCAAAAAGUACUAAUUUCUUUGAAUAGUGUAAGAUUUGGACAAAUGUACUGAGAUUUGGUGAAAAAAUCGGUAAGCUGUUGAACGGACGAAGCAAAUGGUAAUGCUAUCGUGCCAUUAGUAUAAUAACGGCGAAUGAAAUUGCGACUCAUUUUGAUAUGGUUGGUGGGUUCGUGAAAGACAUGUUAUCCGCAAUUUUAAUCGCACUUUGAUUAUCACAAUAUGGUUGUGUUGGAGCAGAGUAGAGGGCACCGAGGUCAUCAAAGAACUAUCCAAGCCAUAUAAUUUCAGAGGUUGCAGAGGGUGCCAGGUGCAAGGAGAACUAAUGACCAGAUACUAGCACGAUGAAGGGCAACAAGUUCCGUAGUCAUCGCAUCCCGCCAUUCAAUAAUGGAAGCGGUAUACGAUACAUUUGUGGUUCCCAGAUAUCAGAAAUAGCUGCAAGAAAUUAAUGUAUGAUAAUACAAAAAAAUGCAGGUAGAGUCAAUAGAACCGACAAAUUAUUUUGGACGACGAGUUCUCGAUACACAAUGGUGGUCGGAUCAUCCGAUGAGGCGAUACUUGUUGGGUCCUCAUGUGGUCCUCAUGUGGUGGUGCUUGUACAACAAGAAAAUCUAUAGAGAAUAGAGCCGGUAAAGGUGAGAAGAAGUAGCAGUUGAGGAAUCAGUUGGUUAGGAUUCUUCGGGAGAAGAAAUAGUGGCUGAUGAAAUGUUGAAGCGAAAAAAGAUCAACUAUAAGCAUUGAAAUGGAAAUGACGUCAGCACUCAAACUAGAUUGAACAUAAUUGGGUAAAUGUUCGAGAAAAGAAUGAUAUCUUGAGAAAUAUGCAUGUGACGAGCAAUAGGAUCAUAACAUCGUUGUGUUCAAGAUAUAGCCUAAGAAAACACGAAUAUAUAAUUUCAGGGAGAGUUUGGUCAUUCAUGUCAGGGUGGGAGAACAAAACAAGUGUACACACACACACGCGUGCGCACACACACACACACCCCGGGGGAUAUGGCAGAUAAGAGACUACAAGGCAUGAUAUAAACUAGACACAUAUGUAGAGAAAGCAUCAACCCAAAAAUGUUAAGGCGUAGACCCAUCUAUAAGAUGAGAGUAAGCAGUUUUAAAGAUGUCUCAUAUCAGUGCUUACGCUCAGCAAUGUCAUUUUGUUGAUGCACAUACAUGAAAGUUGUGGCAAAGUAUCAUGUUUAGCAAGGAGUAGAGGAAACUCAUUCGAAAAUACUCAUGCAUGCUGAUCUCUCCAUUUUUUUUUUGGUUAACGUCGAACCAAGUGGGCCCAAAGAUAACAAUAACAACAUCGAAUGCUCCACUUGUCUUGUCUAGCACUAUAACUUCUAAAAGAAUUGGAAGGUAUAGAUGAGAAGAAGUAGACACUAAUGCAGGUAGAGAAGUUGUAGGAUCACGAGCAGCGAGGACAAUAAGCAUCGCAGAAAUAGAGGAACUUAGAACUUGAAGGCAUGUCUCUGCAGCAAUUAGUUUCGCCAGAGCUGCAUCAAUGGUGAGGAAUGGAGUUCGAUGGAGAAGUUGACCACGCAAGGCUUCAAACUUAGGUAGCAAGUGCAUAAGGAACUAGAAUAAACAUUGUUGAUUGUGCACUUGCUUUUGCUUGAAAGCACACUGACAAGCUGAGCAAGUGCGGCAUAAGGGUAUCCAUAGUUGCUAUUUGAUGCCAAAGUGCCUGCAUAAAGUCAUAGAAAAUCGAAAUUAUGCGCUCCUCUUGAUGAGCUGUGGAGAUUGUGUCAUGCCUUGAGUCCGACCAAUUGGACCCGCUUGGACAUGUACAAUAGAUCCACUGGACAAGACAAGUUUUCCCCUACCCAUACGAAGCAGAAACAUACAGCAACCUGUACAAUGCCAUAUAUGAAAUAGUUAUAAUAGAGCAUUAGCGUAAUAUUUCUAAAUUAAAACCACUGCAAACGUACUCAUUUAAAGUUUACCAAACUUAAUACAUUCCAAAAUAUUACAAUUUUAUUGUUCAUAUAAAAAGGUACAAUCUAAACCACGUACUCACAUGGUCUAACUACUCCACAACGCCCUUACUAUGGUCCCGCACCUCAAAGAUAAUAAUAGGAUCUGAAAAUAGGUAAACAACAAUGGAAUAAGAACUUGGAAUGAGUUCUGAAUAGGUGCAACCACUGAAAGUGGUAUUCUAUACUCACCAAGUUCCAAACGGGCGUUAGUAAUAAGUAAUAAUAAACAACAUCUAUUACCACAAUAGAAAAGUAAAUAAGUAAGAUAUAUCUAUAAUGCCUCUCUAUAUAUAUAAUAUGCAAAAAUGGUUUGCUAUGUUAUUUACUACACAUUCACCUCAUUUUAUUUUCUUAAUUUUAACAAACUUGUUCAUUUGGUUUACUUUUCAAUCUCAGUACACACCUUAUGGAGAGUCAAGGAUGAUCGAACUUCUCUCCAAUCGGUAGGCACUUGGGAUUGAAGGAGAUCAGAUUUUCUCUAGUAUGGCAUCGGGAGUUGAGAGGAUUAGACUUCUCCCUUUAUGACACUUCCGAAAAUCGCAACAUGUUUCAUUGUUACACCUUAAGUUCGUGACUUCUAGGGUUGUCAUAAGGUUUAUUUCCAUAUUGUUUUAUUUUCUAGUUCUAGUUUUGCCUAGAGAUACCACUAUAUUCACAUCUUAGGUUUCAAAAUAGGUUAAACGCCACACUUGUUUUCAACAUUUUAUGGUUCACAUAAUACUCACAUGUACAUCUCAAGUAUUUUCUUGUAGUAUAAUAAAGGGAUAAAAUCCUAUUUUCCUAGGCCAAAUGGCAAUAUACAAUUUUGACUCUCUAGAUCCCCUAGCAUGCAACUAAAAUAUAUUUCAGCUUAUAUAAAACUCAUAAAAUAUGCAUGCAACAAAAAAAUAAUUUAGACAAAGAGGAAACUAAAUCUAUUUUGAUUAUAUUCUUUACCUUUUCUUAGAUCUUCUCUAAGAGAUGCUCUUGAUCUUUUUAGAAUACCAAGAAAAUCUUAAAAAUUAAUUCUAACCAAGUUAGAAUCUAAAAAUUCUAUGUUUAGGAAAAUUCCCAAAAUAAACCAGAAGAUUCCAACUUACCUCUUCUCUUCCUGGUAUAAGAAAUGCGGGUGAAAUGGACUUCUUCUCCCUCCAAGAGCGUUCUCUUGAUGAAUUUGACCUUCUCCAAGCUUUCAAGGAAAUAGAUCUUUAAGUUUCAACAAUAGAGAUUUUAGGGCUCUUUUACUGUAAAGAAAGAGAGAAGAGGAUAGUGAGAGAGGAAGAAAUAUAAGAGAAAUUAGGGCUAACUAAUUAAAAGGAUACUCAUAGACGUGCUAUAAUAGCACAUAAACCCGCCGACAAUCCAAAUUUAUAAAGCCAUAAACCUCGACCUUUUAACUAGGAUUCGGGCACCCACUUGUCCGGACUUUCAGGUGCCGGUCCAAACUUUUAGGAGCCCAAAAGCCUCGUAGCUCCCUUUGGUCAAUUGUCUAGAUGCCCGGCCAAUCCGCCCUAUCCAUAAUACGGGUGCCCAAAAUGGACAUCAGGUGUCCAAUUAUUUAAUCCAUCACACAUGCGCUCUCAGGUUGAACAUCCAAAAGACAUUCGGAUGCCCGCGAGGGACUGCUUGAAAGAUUUUUCGAGCGCCAGAUUUUGGUCAACCGAAUAUUCAAUCCUUCACCUCCCAAGUUCUCGGGUUGGGAGUCCGAAAGAGGGUCUGGAUCCUCUUAAGUAGGAUUUGAAAGGUUAAUUUGCAGGCACCUAUGGGGCCAUUCGGGCACUCUAAAGUCAUCCUUCAAGUGAGUCCCACUGUCCGAAAUGGUUUCGGGUGCUUGGGAUCCUGUUUCGAGCGCUUGGGAUCCUAUUUCGGGCAUCCGAGAAGUUUGAUACUUCAGUUUUCACUUCUUUGAAAAUCAAUUUCAAUAUAAAUUAGUUUAUAUUCGGUCCAAAUUCAAACUACACUCCUUCAAACCCAUUUUAAUUGUGUCUAGCAUGACUUAAUCCGUACUUUGUUAAUUUAGCCAAAAUUCAGUAUGUUACAGAUUUUCUAUACUUAGAAAAUAACCAUAACUAUACUAUCUAUAUAUUUGUCUCUAUAUAUCGAUCAAAGAUAGACCACAUCUGGUAAAUGGUGGAUAGGCUGAUUAAUUGCAUACAAAUGUCGAUAUCCACUUGUAUAAAUAAGCCCAUGUGCCCGUCAAUCAGCAGCAAAUCAGGCUUUAGUUUUGUUUCAUCAACUGUUAGAUUGGUACCAUCAAUAUGACUGGUAAGAUCAAGAGUAUUCAAAUAAUAAUUGAAUACACAUCGACCAUUCAUAAUAGUUGGGCACGAUGAGCUUAAUAUCAAUUUGCACAAUAGUAGGUUAGAGGUGAGAGAACUAUUUUUCUUUACAGGUCUAAGCUAUUAGAGAAUGAUCCUUUAACUAUUAUGUGCUCAAAACAUUUUGGCAUCUAAUGGCAGAUUUUGGCUAAAAGCCAAAUAUGCAAAUUGCUAAAACUAAAUUAAAGAUUAGUAUCAAAAGAUUUUGGCAGAAAAUUAGUCUCAAAAGAUUCGGAGUCAAGACCUUAUGCUUUGAUAUCAUUUAGGACAUUGUUUUCACUUCCAUAUAUACUCAAUAGGGAUUAUCUUAAAUUCUGUUGAAUUCGCAGGUCCAUUCCAAUUUAUGAUGUGAUCCAAAAUUUUAGCAGUAAAAUUAAAAAUUUCACUACUAGAAAAUUAGUCAUUAGUGACAUUUAUUUACGCUGCUAAAAGAUCAACGAAUGCCACUAAAAAUUUUAGCAGCAUAUGACACUAACUGUUGCAUAUGCCAAUGUUGCUAAAAGUAUUAGCAGUAUUUAUAAUGAAUGCUGCCAAUGUAAAUCAAUUAGUGUUAUUAGGAACAUGCCUCUAAUAUAAAUCAAUUAGUGUCAUUCGGAACAUGCCGCUAAAAGGGAUUAAAUGCUAAUUUUAACUUAUUUAUUAGUGGGACAUAAAUUAAUAUAACGCCACAAAUACAAAUAUCUGAUUUUAGGGACUCAAGUUUUAAAAUUUUAAUUUUACCCGCUUCAGCUGGAAAUGUGAAUCAACUAGGAUUCAAACUUGAGACCUCAGUUACCAACCAUCAAGCACUUUGUCACUUACGCUAGGAACUCUCAGUUAUAUAUAUUUAAUUUUUUUUAAAUUUUAAGCCUUCAAUUUUAAAAUUUUAAAAUUUUAAAUUCUAAAUUCUAAAUUUAGAUACUAAAUUUAAAUUUUUAAUUUUCAAAUAUUAAAUUUUAAGUUUCAAAAUUUACAAUUUUAAAUGUGAAAUUUUAAAUUUAAAAAAAAUGUAUAAAUUUAAAAAUUAAAAAUUAAAAAUUUAAAUUUUAGAAUUUAAAAUAGAAAAUAUAAAAUCUUAAAAUUCAAAUGUUAAAUUAUAAGUUUAAUUUUAAAAAUUAUAAGUUUCAAAUAUUUAAACUUUAAUUUCAAAACUUUUAAUUCUAAGUAAAAAUAGGAUAUAUUAAUAAUUAUAUAUUGAUUAGUAACGAUAUUUAGUAAUAAGUACUGCUACUUUAUUACAUUUAGUGGCGUUCAUUAAUUUACGCUGCUAAUUUAUCCUAUUUUGUAACAUUAAUAAUAAAUUACUGCUAAAUUAUUAAAUCUAGCGGCAAUUAUUAAAUAAUGCUGUUAAAUAUAUUAAUUAGCUUAAUUUAAAUAAAUAUUGUGAAGUAAGUGUUGCAGCAUUUAGCAAUAAGUGCUGCUAUUUUGUUACAUUUAGUGUUAUUUUUUAUAAAAUGUUGGAAACUUCAGCGGCAUUCACUAAUUUAUCAAGUACGAAUAAUUGUAAAUUGCUACUAAUUGUAACUUCAGCGGCAUUCAAUAAGUGCUGGUAAUUUAUCCUAUUUGUAACAUUAAUUGUAAAUUGCUGCUAAAUUAUUAAAUCUAGCGGCAAUUAUCAAGUAAUACUGUUAAAUAUAUUAAUUAGCAUGAUUUAAAUAAAUGUUGUGGAGUAAAUGUCACUAAAUCAUGAAUUUGUUAUAGAAUUUUAUGAAACUCCAUGGUAGUAGCACUAGAAGCCCACUACUUGCUUUGUGAGUGCAAGGGCAGCGCUCCUGCAAAUUGGAAUAGUUAAGUCGGGGCCAAAGUUUUUCUAACCCCUAAACUUUUGAUCUACCAAUUUAGUUAAACUUAGACUAGUAUCGUUAAUUCUUUAGAGAUUUAACCGCUUACAUAUGUUGAUAGACCUUACUCCGUGGAUUUGUGGUAUCAUAGAGAGCAUGACAUCUAUUUUGCAGGUUAGGAUAUUUUGAGAGACGUAUGUUUUGUACUCAGCUUUCGAUUAUAAAAAGUUUUGCUUCAUCUUUGUUCAUGGAUUCAGGUCAGUGGUCAAACAAGAUUAUUUUCUUGUGAUUUUUUUUUCUUCUCUAUUUUUUGAUUCUCCGUUUUCUUUUAUCUGAUUUUUAGUCUUUGUUGUUACGAGAUACUUACCUCCCAAAUGUCUCACCUUGAAGCUGUGAAUGCCACUAUAUAGUUAGUACAUAUAGACGAAUAUAUAAGCAACGAGUUGAUUUAGGUAAAUAAUUAUUUAGCCACCACUCCAUCCUUCUUCUUUUCACUUAAUUGGAAUUGCCUUUUAUACUCAAAUUUUGGCAUGUUACAUACUAAAUGUUGAAAACUGAUGUGGAUAAAAUUAAAUUGUCUUAGAACUUCGAAGUAGAAAUUUUUCUUCACAGUGUGGGCCAUUAUUUCAUAAAUUGGAAGAUAAAUUAUGUUUGGCAGUAUGUUUAGGAUAUGAAAUCAAGUCUGCAGGAAAACUUAAUUUAUGUAUGCUUCUAACGGAUGAUUCCAAACUUAAUUUAUGUAUGCUUCUAACGGAUGAUUCCUUACGUGAUGCAGGAUGAGGACUUUCCUAAUUGAGGGUUUCAUGUGCCACACUCAUAAUGCUGCAUGGCACACUCUACACAACAUUAUUUGUGGGAGUGCUAACAAGAUGGAGAAUUAUCUAGACAUUGUCAAGAAUCAGCUAAAGUGCAAUGUAACUAUAUUUCACGGCCGAAAAGAUGAGCUCCUCCCUGUUGAUUGUAGCUAUGCUGUCGGGUCGAAGAUCCCUAGGGCUCGUGUUAAGAUCUAUGAUGAGAAGGACCAUAUCACGGUUGUCGUUGGCCAAGAAAGGGUUUUCGCAAGAGAGCUUGAAGAGAUAUGGAAAAAUGCUAUGCAUUAAAUAAGGAGGAGGAAGAAAGAAUUUAAACCUAAAUGAAAUAACUUCCCUCUCAAUGCACAGCUCAAAGAAAUGUGAUGCAAACAAGUGAUGCAUGUUUGAGCAAAUAUAUAUAUAUCUUUUGUUUCUCUCUUUCGUUCUUUUUUAAAAAAAUUUCUUUCUAAAGUACUUAUGUUUUACCACUAUAUGUGGUUCUAUAUGGUACCCCUUAUUCAAGUGUGAAAUAUGUAAGAUAGAAAUAUUAUGGGGAAAGAUAUAGAUUUCUCUACUUUUCAUAUAUUCUUCUUAUGAACUAUGUAGUAUUGUUAGUUAAUAACUUCAUUAUUAAAUCAUCAAUCUUACUACAUCGAGAGGGCAACAAAUUAUAUAUCACUCCCCGAGGCUGUUUUGUAAAAUAUUUUCUUUGAAAACGAGUGAAAAACAUGCUUUUUCUGAACUAAAAAACUGCCCUGAACAAGCACUGAUUCGCCAUACGAACAAAAUCUUCCCUAUCCAAAUGGAUAGAGUUUUUUCUGUACGCAUGACAUAUAUAGAGACAUAAAGUACAACAUCCAACCAUCAAACACAAUAGUAGCAACAACAACGACAAUAGAGAGAUAACAACAUACUAAUAAAUGAUCGACUAUUAUGAUGAAUAAAUGACUACUGCAGCCUCCAAUCUUCACAUACAACAAGUCACCUCCUACAACCAAAAUCAAAUAACAAUAUAUACAGGCCAGAAGCAAGAAUUAAUAAUACUGAAAAGUGAAGAAAUACAGAUACUAAAACCGACUACAAGGAAGCCACCCAAACUACUAAGAAGAACAAAUCUACAAAUGCUAAAUAUACAAUAACUAAAUAAUUAGGAGUUUGAAACAAAAGGUAUAAUUACAACUCAAAGUUACUGCCAGAGGGACUCAUCUAUCUAAUAGUACCUCAUGCACAGGCGGAUAUGUCACCUCUAGUGUCACCUGUGGAAACUAGGGAAUGAAAAACAUGUACACAUAUUUUUCAGUGCGUACUGCAAGCCGUCGAAGGCAAGCUGUACUCACUAGUAAAUAAGAGAGAGAGAGCGAUAAGGUAAAUACGAUAGGUAUAAACAGGUAUAAUUGAUAUAGUAAAAGUAAAACAAGAAAGAAAUCAUGCGACUAAAUAUUUGAAAUAAUAGCACUAUUGUAAAAAGAUAAGCAGAUGUAUAUAUGCAUCAAGCAAAUGAAUACUUCAAUACUCAGUCCCAAUCCAAACAAAUAUUGUCAUGUUGGUCUAAAGACCUUAGGCAAUGCCACACCUAUGCUUAGUCACUAGGCAUAUAAUCCUUCACGCCCUAGGGUUCGGCUCAUGUCACGCCCCGGGGUCCCUUUUCAGUUUAAAACAAAGCGGAAAAGCGUCUGAAAUUUUUUUUUUUUUUGAAAACCUGACCCCAGAGUAUGCCAGAUCCGCCACAAAUACAGGGAAUCCACUGUUCACACGGACAGAGUCUCCCCUGUAUUUGCACGGCGUCGCACAAGUACAAGAAGUCACCCAAGCACAACCACAACAAAUGAACAUACAAAUAACCAACCGUUAUAUAUAUUCAUACGCCAUUCACCACAGAUUCACAUGUAUGCAUAAAUCCACACCUAUCAGUUAAAAUAUUUCCAACCACAGAAACAGGUUUUGAAAUACUAAGAUGCAAAAUCCACAGAAAGCUUUUUGAAAACUGUUUCCUACACGGAAACCUUUAUUCUUUAAAAAUGCUACCACGAGGGGUAGAAAAUAUUUUACUUUACAAAAUCCAGAAAUCCGUUUAUUACAUUCACGAAAAUCCAUAUUUUCAAAUGUAAUAAAAAAUACUGAACCAUAUAACUAUCUAAGCUAUAACAACUGAAAUAAUAAGGGUAAUAACUAUACCGAAAUAACCUGGGUCGGAAGCUCUAUCGACCGCUACACACGUACCUCACGUCUCGUCCCACUACUCAUCGCCCGCGAUACCUGAAAAAUGGUGGGGGAGGUGAGAACAUGUAAACAUGUCUCCCCUCCCAGUGGGUACCGCAAGCCGAAGAAGGCGAGGAGUACUCACCGGAUCAGGAAGAACUAUACAACAACAUGGGUCAGUGGAAAUAAACAAGGUAAUGAGCAGAUAUACAAUAGCGAUAAACUGAAAGGAAGUAAGAACUAUACUGAAUAAACGGCUACCGCUACUGUAACUGGAACAGAAAGCAUACAUGAAUAUCUACUAUAGUAGCAAGACAACUAUAAAGUAAGAUCUGUAAGUAUGCAUGCAACGACUGCUACUAUAAACAUAUGCGUCAAUGGGACAAUCAGUCCAAAAGUACCCAAUCUGAAACCAAUGCUCUCUUGGUCAGCACCGCAGACCUCAAGCCAAUGCCCUGGAGGUCCGCACCGCAACACCUCCCGACAGUACCACUGCCGCUCUAACAUGCAUAUAACCCCUCUAGGGCUCACGGGUUGUCACCAUUCAACCACUUUUCCGGAAAAGAACACUCCUUGCGGUGGAUCAGACCGCCAGUGUUCGUGAAAUGCGACGAGUAUCGGGCGAUCAAUGCAAUAUGGUCAAUGAUCAACCGUCGGCAACCAGCCGACAAUCCUGCCCCCCAGGGCCUAUCGACCGCAUAGGUCAUCAACUGUAAAGAAGCACAAGAACCGACCACUCAGGUCAACUAGGAUGGGACAACAUCGACAUCCUCUCAAACAUAUGCAAAUACUGACUAAUCAAGUCAACUGGGAUGGAACAACUCAACAUCCUACCCACAGUAUGUAGAUACUGAUCAAUGAGUCAACUACUGUAUAUAUGCAAGAAUCGGUCAACAAGUCAUCUGAGUAUAUGAUCUAGAACUACCGUCGGCCACUAGUCGACAAUCCUACCCCUCAGGGUACACCGACCUCAAAGGUCAUCAAACAACAAGAGUCAAGGAACAAACCGACUAUAUACAGAUAUAAGAUACAAGAACGAAUCAACUAGGUCACCGAUUUCACAUAAAAUCACGAAACCGCUCUACUCUAAACAUGAUACAGGAUAUGCAGAAUAGCUAAGUAGAGCAACAAAGAAAUAUGGUAUAACUACUCUACUCCUACUCAUGAUAUAAAGAGAACAACCGAGUAGAGUGUAACUGAACAACAUGGUGCUAGGCUCAACACUAUAUAUCAAGAUAUAUAUAUGCUAGAUAAUAACGAAAGAGCAAAGGUAAGAAACCAUCACCGAGCGUGCACCACUGUACCGACGUCGGAUCGAAGUACCCACCUGUACAACUGUCGCGCCUGUCUCCUGACUGCAAAAGAACGUCAACAGGACCUAUGGAGGGUCCACUGGGUUAGUGUCUAACCCACAACUAAGAAAUACUACAUCGUAAUCCCGCUAACAAACCCACGGAGAUCAGUUUCCCAAAACCGACUACCGUAACUCGCCGGAAGUCCCAAAAAUCGCACCGGGACUCCGUCGGGACCCACGAACUGUCCCGAAAUGUUCCAACUCAGGAUACGAGUCACCCGCUGACACAAAACACACCAAUUUGGAUGUCUUGGCAGAAAACACAAGUUAACACAACUACACAAUUAUCGCCGGAUAAUUGUACGAACUCGGGUUCCCGAAAGUGUCAAAUUCGACACCGGAACCCACCGUCGCUCACUCGUCAUUUCUGAACUCUCGAAAUGACGCAAGUGGCCAGAAAACAAGGCUCGGCGACUACACAAUAGCUCACGAAGCACCGUCGGAAUAAUUCCGAACCGAACCCGCGUUCUAUCGGCGGAUUUCGCCGAAAAACGCAUCGAAAAUCACUUUUCGAUUUUCGCAAGGGCUUGGGGCCUUGGACGAUCAGUCCAGAGGUUAUCCUUAGCCCAAACGUGCUGCCAACAGCAUCUACAUCGAAGCAAAAGUCCUAAAAGCCCAUACCGAUACAUGAAAUCGCAUCAUUUCAUGUGAUUUCUAGGCUUUUCUGGACCGUGCACGCAAACCAGAGGUCGAUUAAUCCGACCGUCGCACUCGCUGACAGGUUUCAUCAUGUCGGAGGCCGUGCUCACCUUUCGGAGCACUGCCGACCACUGCGGUGCGCGCACGAGCGACACGAAAUCUGUGAAACAGUGCGCACAGCGCGAAGGUCGCGACUAACUUGCUAACCAGGGCAUCUUUGCCGCUGUCGGAGGUGAGCACGAUGUUCAGCACGAACCCUAGAUCAUCGUGCUCACUUCUCGAGGUGUCGGGGAGUCAUCGGAUCACCAGAAAGGUGGCCGGAAAGCUUAAAUUGCAAUGCUGGAACUCAAAAACAGCAUACCGGAGCAGUGGGAGCUAGGGUUGGUCGCCGGCGGCCGGGAGGCGGGCACUCUGGCCGGGGAUGGGAGCAGCCGGUCCGAGAGGUCCGGGGAGGGUGCUGGCCGGCGGCGGGCGGCAACCGGUGGCGCGGCGGAGGAGAUCGACUCCGCCCAUUCCCUCUCGGGUUCGUGCUUCCCGGCGGCGCGGCGGCGGCCGGAGGAGGUCGGGGCGGCUACGGUGCGGCGCCGGAGGCCGAGGGGAAAGUGGUGUACCCCCCGGUGGGCGGCGGCGGCACUUGGAUGUCGAGCGGGCCCGACCUCGGCCCGCACAGGUCUGGGUAGCUGCAGGAGAUCUCAGCGGCGGCCGGCGGCGCGCGGGGACGGCGGGGGACGCGCGCGCCGGGUUGUCGGAGGUCGCCGGGGCCGACUGGAGGGCGGCACGGCCGAAGUAAGGCGAGGACGCAGAGUUCGAGCUGGCUCGGUCUGGGUUGACCCGAGUUGGCCGCAGGGAGCGGGGGUGGAUCCGGUGGCGCUCGGGGGUGGUCGGGGCCGACGAGGGAGGACGACGGAGAUGGACCUCGGCCAGAGGAUGAUGCUCCAAGGGUGAAAGAAGCUUCCUUCGCAGCUUCGGCGAAGUCGGAGGAGAGGGUGGCCGAGAGAGCAAGAGAAGAGGUCGGGGUGGCUUUUCCGGCGGCCGGGGCAGCUCGCCGGCGGCUGGGGCGUGCGCGCGGGUUGGGCAGGGAGAAGGUGGGGCGGCUAGGGCUCGGUUCGGCUGAGGAGAAAGCCAAAAGCUAGGGUUUCCUCACGAAACCCUAGUGCAACUACUAUUUACAUAUGUACAAUUGCAAGAUAGUCCUCCCAGGGAUAAUAUUCUCAGUCAAGUCCCUCACAGCAUGUGUAUUUUACACAUACGCACCUCCAUGUCCGAUCUCAAGCAAUUCGGCACAUAAAAUAUUAGAUCUUUUCGCGAUUUAACCGUUUUGCCAAUUUGACCUCUUAGCGAUAACUUUGCAAUUACCGGAGAUCCGUCCGUCGGAUUUUCGAUCCGACUGUGCCAUCGCGUUCAGUACAACGGGGGCAUCGAAACUACGAUUUCGUUUCAUCCAAUUUGGUCACGGAUUCGCGACGGAACCCAUCUGCUCUCUAAUUAAUCCAUAUAUCGUACGUAUACCAAUGUGUAAACCCAUUAAACCAACUUUCGUAUUAGAAAUUGACUUCCCUACCACUAGUAGGGACCCGAAACAUUCUUCACCCUACUCCAGGUCACAAGCACGGGGCACGAGAAGCUUUAGAAUGCACAGAAAAGCAAAGAGCGGAAACCCUCUUUUCGGUAAAACUCCUUUUUCUCGAAAAUCGUGCAUCAGAUCUGAAAUCCGUCAGUGCCAUUGGUUCCAGAACAGCUGAACCGAUCGAAACGAGCUAUUGGAUCGCUAUGAACGGAGUCCGAUAAGCGCCGAAAGCCAACUCUACUCCGUGGCUUCACCGAAAAACUGGAGUUACUAUUCACUUAAGUGAAAACUAAUAAUCACGUAACUUCUCCGUUCUAGCUCAUUUUCUCCUGAAACUUGACGAGUGCUUAUGUAAUUAAAUUACACACAUAAAUAUCGUCAACAGAGAGUUUAGUUGCACUGUAAAAAUCUCAAUCCUUACAGCUCAACGUGGGUUUGCCAAUAGAUCUGCCGCAUACACAAGAAGCCUUGUGUAUACGAAGCGAUAGUAGUACUUGUAAAGUAUAAAAGAACAACUAUAAGCAAGUAAUAGGAUUGUAAAAAACUGCUAAAACUAAAACAUGAUCCACUGUACAUACAUAAGAUCUAGGGAGUACAAUAAAGAAAUCCAAAAGUACAAACAUCAUCUCUCGCAAUUGUAAAAUAAUAUAUAUAUAUAUAUAUACGUAUAAUAUAUAUAUAGAACGUUCGGCUACUAUGCUUAUCGUAGCACGAGCGCUCCGUGCUACCAAGUUGUUUUCGAUGAUGCGGCUUUCUGAUCGACGAUCGGCUCCGUUAGACUUGAUCGAACACUAUUGAAAGUAUUUGAAACUAAAUUUCAAAUUUUUUCGACAUCAUUUGACUAGUGAUCAAAAGAUCUCAAAAUUGACAAUUUUAAUGGCCGAUGUGGGUGUGUUUGUGAGUUAACGGUGUAAAAAUAAUCCAAAUGCGAUGAAAAAUUUAUAUAAAAAUUCUUUUCACUAUUUAGAGUAAGAUCAGUAUAUCUUUUUUGAAUUAAUCUUUUUAUAUCAUUUUUCUAUGAGAUUUUUAUUUUCAGCCGUUCAAUUUUAGACCUACUUGUUUGAUAGGUAAAUAAUAUUCCGAAAACACACUUAUGAACACUUAUUUCUAAAUACUUUCCCACAUAGUAUAGAUUCAAGCUCAACCGGAGCCGAUCGGUCGACUUCUGGAAGUAGCAUCAUCGAAAACAACUUGGCAGCACGGAGCGCUCCGUACUAUCGAUAGUAUAGUAGCCUAGCUCAUAUAUAUAUAUAUAUAUGUAUGUAUGUAUAUAUGUAUAGCAUAGUACUAAUAUAAUAAUAUAGAUAUAUCUAUAUAUAUAUAUGUAUACAUAUAUACAUACAUAUAAUAUAGAUAUAUGUAUAUAUAUUAUAUAUGUAUUAUAUAUAUAUAUACAUAUAUAUAUUACUAUAUAGAUAUAUUAUAUAUGUAUAUAGAUAUAUUACAUAUAUGUAUAUAGAUAUAUCACAUAGAUAUAUAUAGAUAUAUAUAUAUAUAUACUAUAUAUAUAUAUAUACUGUAUAUAUAUAUAUAGUAUGUUAUAUGAUUAUAUCUAUAUCUAGAUUGUAGGAUAUACAUAUAUAUAUAUAUAUAUAUAGUAUAUACACAAUAUAACAUAUAUAUAUAUAUAUUACAUAUAACAUAUAUAUGUAUAUCUACAUACAUAUAUACUAUAUGUAUAUCUACAUAUAUAUAUAAUAGUAUAUAUAUUAUUGUAUAUCUAACAAUAUAGAUAUAUAUGUAUAUAUAUAUAUAUAUUAUAUAUAUAUAUACUGUAUGUAUAUAGUAUAUACUAUAGAAAUUUAAAUAUUCUGUAUAUUAUAUAUAUAUACAGGAUAUACAUAUAUAUAUAUAUAUGUAUGUAAUAUAUAGUAAUAUAUAGUAUAUCUAUAUAUAUAUAGGGUAGUUAUACCAGAUAUAUAUAACCUACCUAUAAUCAUGUAUAUAUAUAGGUAAUACAUAGGUAGGUUAAUACAUAUAUAAUAUAGUAGAAGGUGGUAUACAAUAUAUUAGGGGGGGGGUAGGUUAUAUAACCUACCUAUAUAUAUAUAUAUAUAUAUUAGUUUAGUAUUAAUAUUUAUAUAUAUAUAAUAUAUAUAUACUAUAUAUAUUUAUAUAAUUAUAUAUUAUAACCUACAAUCUAUGAUAUAUAUAUAACCUCCUAUAUAUGGUUAUAUAUAUAUAUAAUAUGUAUAUAAUAAUAUACCUAAUCUAUAUAUAUAUAUAACCGAGUUGGGCUGGGGUGCUUUCGGAAAGAAGCACGGAGCGCUUCCGUGCUUCCACUUUGUUUUCCGAUGUUCGGACUUUCGAAUCGACGAUCGGCUCCGUUAGAGUUGAUCUACGAGCUAUUUAAAGUACCAAGAAUUAAAUUUUGCGAAUUUUUCGAUAUCAUUUGCCUUAAGUGAUCCGAAGGGGCUUCAAAAUCAAUAAUUUUAACGGCCGUGGUGAGCCAGUUUGCAAGUUUAACGGUAUAGAAAUAUCCCAAAUCCACGGAAAAUUUUGAUAGAAUUCUUUAUUACCAUAUAAAACAAGAUCAAUACUUUUGUGAUCUAAAUUUUAAUGGUCGAUAUCAUCAUAUUUUGGUGAGAUUUUUAUUUUCAGCCGUUAUUUGAGCCACUUCGAUCACUAGGGCAAAUGAUAUCGAAAAAUCGCAAAAUUUAUUUUCUAGAUACUUCAAAUACCUAGAUCAAGUCAUAAACGGAGCCGAUCGUCGAUUUGAAAGUCCCAACAUCGGAAAACAAAGUGGAAGCACGAGCGCUCCGUGGCUUCUGAAAGCACCCCCAGACGCUACUCAUAUUAACUUACCUAUAUAUGUAUAUAGUAUAUAGGUAGGUUAUAUUAUAAUAUAUAUACAUAUAUAGGUAGGUUAGUAUAGUAUAUACUAUAUAGGAGUUAUAUAUUAUAUAUAUAGUAGGUAGGUUAUACAUAUAUAUAUAGUUAGGUAGGUUAUAUUAUAUAUAAUAUAAGAUAUAUAUAUAGGUAGUUAGGUAGAUGUAUAUAUAGUAUAUAUAUGAACUAUAUAUAUAUAACUAUAUUAUAUAUAUAUAGGUUAAGUUAUGUAUAUAUAUAUUAUAUAUAUAUUAUAUAUAUAUAUAUAUAUAUAUAGUAUAUAUAUAGUUAGUAGUAUAUAUGUAUAUAUAUAUAGGGUAGGUAGAUGUAUGUAUAUAGGUAGGUUAUAUAUAUAGUAUAUAUAUAUAUAUAUAUAUAUAUAUAUAUAUAUAUAUAUAUAUAGAUAUAUAUAUAUAUACAUAUAUUAUAAUAUAUAUAUGUAUAUACAUAGUAUAUAUAUAUCUAGUAUAUAUAUAUAAUAUAUAUAUAUAUAUAUAUAUAUAUAUAGUAUAUACUAUAAUAUAUAUAUACAUAUAAUAUAAUAUAUCUAUAUUAUAUAUAGUAUAUAUAAUAGUAGGUAGGUUAUAUACCUGAUAUAUUUAUAACCAACAUAUAUAUUAUAGGUUGUUAUACAUAUAUAUAUAUAGUCAUAACCUACUAUAUAUAGUAGUUUAUAUACUAUAUAGGUAGAUUAUACAUAUAUAUAUAUAGGGGUAGUUAUAUAUAUAUAUAGAGAGUAGUUAUACAGAGUAUAUAGGUAGGUUAUAACCUACCUAUAUAUGUAUAUAUUAUUAUAACCGUACAUCGUAUGUAUAUUAUAACCCACCUAUAUAUGUUAUAUAUAUAUAUGUAUAUUGUAGGUAACUACGUAUAUAUAUAUAUAGCUAUAUAUAUAUAUAUAGUAUAUAUAUAUUAAGUAUACAUAUAGUAUAUAUAUAUAUAACUACAGUCGUAUAAUUAUAUAACCUACCGUAUAGUAUGUAUAGUAUAUAUAGGUAAUACAGAUAAGUAUAUAUAUAUAUAUAUAUAUAUAUAGUAUAUUAGUAUAUAUAUAUAUAUAGGAUUAUAUAGUAGUAUAUAUAUAUAUAAUACGUAUAUAUAGUUAUAUAUAUCUGUAUAACCUACCUAUAUAUAUAUAUGAUAUAUAUAUAUAUAAAUAUAGAUAUACUAUAUAUGUAUAUAGAUAUAUCUAUAUAUAGCAUAUAUAGAUAUAUCUUAUAUAUAUAUACAUAUAUACAUAUGAUAUAUAAUAUAUAUAUACAGUAUAUAUAUAUAUAGUAUAUAUAUAUAUAUAUAAUCUUAUAUGUAUAUAUGUAUAUAUAUAUAGAUAUAGUCUAUAUAUGUACUAUAGUAUAUAUAUGGAGUCGGUACUAUACUAUCGGUAGCACGGAGCGCUCCGUGCUACCAAGUUGUUUUGAUGAUGCGGCUUCCAAAUCAACGAUCGGCUCCGUUAGACGUUGAUCUACACUAUUGAAAGUAUUUGGAAACUAAAUUUCAAGGUUUUUUUUACAUCAUUGACUAGUGAUCAAAAGAUCUCAAAAUUUGACAAUUUUAAUGGGCCUAUGUGGUGUUUGUGAGUUUAACGGCUGUAAAACAAUCCAAAUGCGGAUGAAAAUUUUAUAGAAUUCUUUUCACUAUAUUAGAGAAAGAUCAGCAUAUCUGAUCUUGGAAUUUAAAUCUUUAUCAUCCAUUUUUUAUGGAGCAUUUUUAUUUCAUGCCGUUCAAUUUGUGAGGGCUACUUGUGUUGGUAGGUUAAAUGGUAUUGAAAAAUUAUAAAAUUUAGUUUUCUAAAUACUUUUUUAAAUGAGUGUAGAUCAAGUCUAACGGAGCCCGGAUCGUCGAUUUGGAACCGCAUCAUCGAAAACAACUGGUAGCACGAGCCGCUCCGUUGCUACCGAUAGUAUAGUCAGCCUAGCUUAUAUAUAGUAUAUAUAGGUAUAUAUAUAGUAUAAGUAUAGUAAGUAUAUAUAUAUAUACAUAUAUAUGUAUAUAUAAUAUACAUAUUUAUGUUAUAUAAUAUACAUAUAGUAUGUUAUAUAAUCUAUAUAUGAUACUAUAUGUAGUAUAUUUUGUAUACAUAUAUAUAUGUUAUAUAUGUAUAUACAUAUAAUAUAAUAUAUAUAUGUAUAUUAUAUGUAUAUAUAAUAGUAUAUAUGUAUAUGUAUAUGUAUAUAUAUAUAUAUAUUAUGUAUAGUAUAUAUAUGUAGUAUGUAUAUGUAUAUGGUAUAGCUUAUAUAUAUUAUAUAUAUAGUAUUAUAGUAUAUAUGUAUAUAGAUGGGGUAUACAUUAUAUAUAAUGUAUAUAUAUCAUGAUAUGGUAUGGUACUCCGUGCUGUAUAGUAUAUAUAUAUAUGUAUGGUAUAUAGUAGUAAAUAUAUGUAUGUAUAAUAUAUAUGUAUGUAUAUAUAUAUAUAUGUAUAUAAUAUAUUAUGUAUACAUAACAUAUAUAUAUAGUGGUUAGUACGAGUGUUUGAUUAUUAAGAGUAGAUAGUGUAGAGGUACAUAUGAUUGAUAAUUGUAUAAGAGGGGAUACAGGAUAUAUAUAGUAUGUAUAGUGAUAUAAUAUUNNNNNNNNNNNNNNNNNNNNNNNNNNNNNNNNNNNNNNNNNNNNNNNNNNNNNNNNNNNNNNNNNNNNNNNNNNNNNNNNNNNNNNNNNNNNNNNNNNNNUUAUUUAUAGACUUUAGAAUCAAUCGGAGUCGAAUUAGAAAGUUUUCACGGUUUUACACUGUGUACUGGUACACUUUAAGCUGUUACCGGUUACACGAUGACGGAACGAAAAACCUGACGAAACAGUGAAACCGGUUACAUCCUUGAUGGUCGUACUGGUACACAUUUUGUACCGGUACACUUCUGAUGCUGUACCGGUACACUUUGCAAAUUUCCGCCGUUUCGGGUUUUGCAAAGUCCCAAUGCACUUUCUAAUUCGUUAGACAUUGAUAACAUGAUUCUAAUGUCUACAACUAAGUAUGAAUCACCAUAACAUGAAUUUAUACUUUACCUGAGCAUCGUGAUUCAUAUCGUGAGUUAUUUUCCAACUUUUUCAAAAUCCUGAUUUCUUCGAUCUUCGACGAUAUGCACUGGUUCUUCAAGACUCCGACUCACUUCACGAAACUUGCCAAUACACAAGACUUAACAACCUUAGGCCGGUUGGACUAUAGGAAAUAGGCUCGUGAGAGACGAGGUCUAUUUGACUUGUGAGCGAAAGUAUCAUGAUUGGGUAUCUUGAUAACUCUAUAAAGUUGGAGUUGAUCGAAGUGUAUGACUUCUAACUUCGCGGAGGGUUACGUUGGCGGCCGACAACGUAACAUCGGGAGUUAGUGGUGAAGAACACUUCCUUACUUUCGCAUGAUUUGGGUAUUAUCUUUUGAGCGGGGGUUCGAUAGCGUGGGUUUACUAACUUGCGCUUUUAUGAUGUUGUAGUGACGAUGCCGAUUACACGCUCUCAAUCUACCAGAGCGGAUAAUGCGGCAAACUUGGAGGAGGUCGAGACCUCCGCUACCUCCGGAUCCGGUGAGGUCCGUGAGUUGAGGGGCCAGCUUGCGGCCCUCACUGAUAUGGUGGCACAGCAGACAGAGGCAGCGCGCCGGCAGGAGGCGCGGAUGAAGCGCCUGGAGGACCUUCUUCUGCAACAGGCGGCAGCUUCCAGGGAAACUCAGGCCCCUACACCGCCAGCACCAGUCGUGGACGUCACGCCGAGAGCGCCAUCCCCCGCGCCCAGUUCUUCGUGAGCAGCGCCCAUGGCCGCGCCUCAGGAGGAGGCUAUCGCGGCACCACCUGUGCAGAGGCCCCCAGUUGGAGCAGCUUUCCCUACCUUGGUCGAGGGAGUGGAGCGGGACCGACUCAUGGAGCGCCUCAACGAGUUCAGGAGGUGCAGUCCCCGAAUCUUCGACGGCGAGAAGGUCGACCACUGGAUCGUAGAGAAGUGGUUGAUGCAUAUGGAGAAGCUCUUUCGCGACACCUUCGUGGAGGAGAGGGAUCGGGUUUGGCUCGCCACACACCACCUGGACGGCGAGGCCUAUCGCUGGUGGUUGGAUCUCCAGGAGCACCCCAGCACUGAUUUGGCAGCUAUUACUUGGAAGAGGUUCAAGGAGCUUCUUUUGGCGCAUUACUUCCCGACUAGCGUCAAGAGGAAGAUGGAGCAGGAUUUGCGCAACUUGCGCCAGGGAGACAGGACAGUAGCCGAGUACGAGCGGGAGUUUUCUCGGCUUUUACAUUGCGUGCCUUUCGUCGUGCGGGACGACGAGGACAAGGCCCGCAUCUUCGAGCGAGGGUUGCGACCGUCGAUCUUCCGGUUUGUGCAAUCCUCUAACCUCCAAACCUACCAGGAGGUGGUGGAUCGCGCGCUCAUCGUGGAGAGCGGCACGGCAGAUGUCCAAGAGCGGCGAGAGGCUAUGGACAAGGGUAAGGCCAAGAGGCCUGCGGCUGAGGGUGCGAGCCAGACGCACUCUAGGAGGCCGCCGAAGCAUCCUAGGAGCCAGCAGCGUGGGCGUGGCUCGGCGACUCACCAUGGAGGUUCUGACCGACGCCGACCUCCCCAGUGCGUGAUCUGUGGUGGCCCCCACAUUCCACCGCAGUGCCCGCAGCGAGGAGGGAGGUGUUUCCAGUGUGGCCAGGAGGGCCACUUUCGGACCGAGUGCCCGAGGGGUUCGUCACCGGCACCGUCAUCUGCAUCGGCACCGGCUCUACCAGCCGCCAGCCACGGGACUCCAUCAGCGCAGUACCAGCUCGGGCGGCCACCCGCCCAGCGCCAGAGCGAGGGUUCUCGACAGGCCCCGAGUGGGCGUAUGUAUGCCGCUCAGACCGAGGAGGCGGCAGCAGCCGAGGAUGUGGUCGCAGGUAUCAUUUUUACUUGAUGCAUUAGAGUUCGUGCAUUAUUUGAUACCGGUGCAUCGCAUUCAUUCAUAGAUCGGCUGUUUGCCGAGUUGCAUGGCAUCCCUAUGUUUUCUUUGUUGCAUCCGGGACGUGUAGUUGUCCCUGACCACUCUUUGGAUAUUAGAGAGUAUUGCCCCAGUUGCCCUAUUCGGGUAGGAGAUUGGAUUAUGUCCGUGGACUUGCUAGCCUUGCGCAAGCUGGGGGAGUUUGAUGUGGUCUUAGGCAUGGAUUGGUUGACCAAGUUUUAUGCCACGAUAGAUUGCAAGAAUCGCACGGUUACUUUUAGAGAACCGGGGCAAGUUGAGGUGAUAUUUAGAGGAUGCCAGAGUUCGCUUUUUGCGAUGACGAUCAGCUCGUCUCGAGCUAGGCAACUGAUCAGCAGAGGUUGUGUAGCCUACUUGGCUAGUGUUGUGUUGAGGGGCGAGGGUGAUACCCCGAGGAUUGAGGAUAUUCCGGUGGUACGGGAGUUUUGUGACGUGUUUCCAGCUGAGCUACGGGGCAUGCCACCCGAUAGGGAGAUUGAGUUUGUGGUAGAUCUCAUCCCUGGGACUACUCCAAUCUCGAAAGCGCCCUAUAGGAUGUCACCGGCGGAGCUGAAGGAGCUGAGGGCACAGCUGCAGGAUCUUCUGGAUAAAAGCUUCAUUCGACCGAGCGUCUCGCCUUGGGAAGCACCAGUUUUGUUCGUCAAGAAAAAAGACGGAUCACUUCGCCUAUGCGUGGACUAUCGCGAACUUAAUAAAGUCACGAUUAAGAAUAAGUAUCCGUUGCCGAGGAUCGACGACUUGUUUGAUCAGCUUCAGGGAUCGUGUGUGUAUUCCAAGAUCGAUUUGCAGUCGGGAUACCACCAGUUAAAGAUCAAACCCGAGGAUGUAUCGAAGACGGCUUUUAGAACCCGGUAUGGACAUUAUGAGUUCACUGUUAUGCCGUUCGGGCUUACUAAUGCCCCCGCAGCUUUUAUGGAUCUAAUGAAUCGUGUUUUUAAGCCUUAUCUAGACAGGUUCGUCGUGGUGUUCAUAGACGAUAUUUUGGUUUAUUCCCGAAGUGAUACAGAUCACGAGGAGCAUUUGAGGCUUGUACUUCAAGUACUUCGGGAAAAGGAGCUCUAUGCCAAGCUAAAAAAGUGUGAAUUUUGGCUUCGAGAGGUAGCUUUUCUUGGACAUUUGAUUUCAGGAUAGCUGUGGAUCCUAAGAAGAUUGAAGCAAUCAAGGAUUGGCCGAGACCGACGAGCGUCACGGAGAUACAGAGCUUCCUUGGAUUGGCCGGGUACUACCGGAGAUUUGUUGAGGGGUUCGCCAAGCUGUCUACUCCCCUCACGAGGCUCUUAGGAGAGACCGGUCUCCCAGGGACCGGUCCCUCAGGUGAGGACCGGUUCCCGAACGCGAAAAGUCCCCAGACUGCAGGGAGAGCUCUCGGGGACCGGUCCCUUGUCGGGGAGACCGGUCCCUCUGGGCGAAAACAGCCCAGUGAUAGCAGGUUGAGAGAUGAAAAGUUGAGGGGCUAAAGUAGAUUUUGUUACAAUAGAGGGGCAUAUUAGCCCACUCCCCCUCUCAGCCUCUCAUUUCUCUCUCUCCCUCACUCUCAUUUCUCUCUCGCUCUUUCUCUCUCUAAAAAGGAAAGGAGAAAAAGAAGAACAAGAAGGAGAGGAAGGAAAAGAAGAAGAAGAUAAGGAAGGAGAAGAAGAAGGAGAUCAAGAGGAAGGCUUUGAGCACCUCCAUCUCCCUCUCCUCUUCUCUUUGGUGUAGCUCGUGAGGUAAGCUACUAAACCCUAGCUUCUAGAACUUAGGGUUUUGGGUUUUUAUGCUUUGGAGUGGGUCAAAUGGACCCUAGGCAAGCUUCUAAGUAGAUCAAUCCCUUGAUUCUAGGGUUUUAUCGGUGGGUUGCUAUAUGUGCAACCUAGGGCUCCAAAUGGGGCAUUUUGUAAAGUAUGAGAUUGAUCUCAUUUGAGGCCUUGUAAACCCCAUCGAUAGGUGCCCAAACGCGGGGGCGAAGUCGAUUUCGCGAUUCGUCAAGCGGGCUUAGAGCAAUCGGCGGAUUACGGUCGUUUCGGCGCUAUCUUGGAUUAGGGAAGGCUAAAGCCUUUUCGUAAAGCUCGCCGAGGAGCGUUCUUGAGGCCUCUACGUUGAUAAAAGGUGGGGGGUGUCAUCCCGAAGCUUUCGAACUCCUUUCUAUGUCUUAGAUUGCAUUUAAUCUCAUCUCUUCAUGUUGCAUUGUAGGAUUGCAUAGUAGCUCCAUUCCUUAUGCUUUCUAAAUGAUAACCUAGUGUACUUGGAACGCUUGGUAACUUAGAUAGGUGAGGAUUGGGUCGGAACGUGGAUCCUAUGAUGUAAAAGAAAAGAGGUGAACCCGAUGGGGGUAUUGAUGACAUAGAAGGUAGUGUUAGUGUUAAAGAACACAUGAGUGGCAUCCAAAUGUUAAAUGAUGACGAGUGGCAUUAAUGUAGUGUAUAUGACACUAGAGGUUUGAGAACCUAGGGAUAGGUGGAUCCCUUAGAAAAUGCCUUGUGAACAAUGAAUUUAGAAAACUAAAUAGCAUUGCAUGAAUGUCGGGAACCGAUGAUUCCGCGAUAGUCGUUGACCCUAGUGUAGGGCGUCCUCACUUGGAGAGGAUUCGAUUGGGUUAUUGACUCUAGUUGUAGAGCCUCCUCACUUGGAGAGGAUUGGAUUGGGUGUUGACCCUAGUUACAGUGUAUCCUCACUUGGAGAGGAUAGAUCUAGCUCACAGUCUGCGUUUAGGAUGGUAUAGCCAUCCAAUCCCCACAUGGAGGGGAUUGUCGUCGAGUACUCCGGAGUGUCGCGCGACUAGGACCACUUGGAGGUCCGGACCACAUGGAGGUCCGCAGACGGUCCCGGGCUUGGGUGCACUUGGAGCUCCCUCCCCACUUUGGGAUUGGAAGAUGAGUUAUGGGUGAGCCCUAGGGCCUCGCCACAGAUUGGGUAAAUGAAAGGUUAAAGGUUUAAUAAAUGUCAUUGAACAUAGCUAUUCGAACAUGGAUCGAAUUUGGUAGCAUGGUAGCAAACCUUUAUUAUAUGAUGCAUGCAUUCAUAUUCAUGAUUAUGGGCAUAGUAGCAUAGUUUUCCUACUACUGCAUUUACAGCUUUCAGAUACAUAUCUAUCUAUCUAUCUAUCUGUUGUUACUUGUGCCCACUUGGACCUAGUGGGGAGAUCGGCAGAGUCGGCGGCCGAGCCCACUGGGAACUAUGGAAGAUAGUUCUCACCCCACUCUAUUUUCAGUAGUAGGUACAGGGUUAUCGAGAGAGGACCACGGCAAGGGCAUCGCGCCCGAUCAGUGAGACCGUGGUAGUAUAGUAGCUUUCCUUUUGCAGUAGCACACCUAUGUAUUGCGAGAGAUUCAUGUAGGUGAGGCUGGAGAGUUAUGUAUUUUGAGGAUCAAAUGUAUUCAUUUUGGAAAAUGAUGUAAAUGUAAAGAAUGCAACUAUUGUAAUAGUUAGUAAAGUACUCUCUUUAUUUCACUCGUAUAUCUUGUGGAUUACUUGCUCUUCUUGUUGUUGGCACUGUUUGUGCCCUCGUUGAAUAUGUAUGUUUAGAAUUUAAAGCCCUGGGUAAAUUCUUGUGCACAUUCAUGUUAUUGAGCCUUGGGCGGACAGGAGAGGUGCUGUCCGUUCGGCGGACCGUCGCCACGGCCGAAUCGUGCCAAAUUGGUAGUGGUUUCGGGGCGGGGCGUGACAGCCAGCCUCUCGCCAACUUCACUCCAAUGAAGUGGCGAUCUACACUUCCGUCCAUAAAGUGCCUCGAAGGGUGCCAUCUUGAUGCUUGCUUGAUAACUAUUGUUAUAAGCAAACUCCGCCAUCGGUAGAUGCUGCGACCAUCCUCCCUGGAAGUCAAUCACACAUGCUCGGAGCAUAUCCUCUAAAGUACGAAUGGUGCGCUCCGACUGUACGUCACUCUGAGGGUGGAAAACAGUGCUGAAAUCCAAUCGGGUGCCCAAGGCGUCCUGUAGACUCCUCCAAAAGUGAGACACAAACCGAGUGUCUCGGUCCGAUACUAUCGAUAUAGGCACUCCAUGAAGUCGCACAAUCUCAUCAAGGUACACUUGUGCGAGCUUCUCUCCGGUCCAAGUAGUAUGAAUAGGUAUGAAGUGUGCCGACUUCGUCAACCUAUCCACGAUCACCCAUAUAGCCUCAUGCCCGGCCUGAGAGCGGGGCAAUCCAGUCACGAAAUCCAUGGUGAUCUUCUCCCACUUCCACACGGGAAUAGGCAAACUCUGAAGUUUUUCCGCGGGUAAUCGAUGCUCAGCCUUUACUUGUUGGCAAGUUAGACAACGAGCUACAAACUCGCCAACAUCCUUUUUCAUCCCGGGCCACCAAUAGAAUAACUUUAAGUCCUUGUACAUCUUGGUGCCAUCCGGAUGUACAGCAUACGGUGCUCGGUGUGCUUCAUGAAGAAUGUCCUCUUUGAUUUCCGCAUCCGCCGGUACACAUAACCAUCCGCGAAAACACAUCAAUCCUUGGUCAUCCACAAGGAAAUCGCCGGUGCAACCAUUAACCAUUUUAUCUCUAAUCUUUUGCAACUCCGUAUCGGAAGCUUGCUUCUCUUUAAUCCUAUCCACAAGUGUAGGUUGCACCACCAAAGUCAUCAACCUUAAAGACGUGUCUGGAGUCACUACCUCCAACUCCAACCGCUUCAUAUGCUCGAUCAACUGCGGUUGAGCCACAACAUGCAUCGCUAAGUUUUCUGUCGAUUUCCUACUUAGCGCAUCCGCCACCACGUUAGCCUUGCCCGGGUGGUAUAAAAUUGUCAGGUCGUAAUCCUUGAGCAGUUCCAACUAUCUGUGCUGUCUCAAGCUCAACUCCUUCUGAGUGAACAAGUACUUCAAGCUCUUGUGAUCCGUGUACACUUCACACCGCUCGCCAUAAAGAUAGUGGCGCUAUAACUUCAAUGCGAAGACUACGGCCGCCAACUCCAAAUCAUGCGUCGGGUAGUUCUUUUCAUAUUCCUUUAGUUGGCGCGAAGCAUACGCGAUCACUUUGCCAUCCUGCAUCAACACACAACCCAAUCCAUUAAGUGAAGCAUCACUAUAAACCACAUACCCUGCUCCAGCCAUCGGCAGGGUUAGGAUCGGGGCGGUCGUCAAUCUUUGCUUCGAUUCUUGGAAGCUUCUCUCGCAUGCAUCAUUCCAAAUGAACUUGACUCCUUUAUGCGUGAGACCGGUUCCCGAAAGGGGAACCUUCAGGACUUAGCCAAAUUUAGGCUUCCUCUCGCGGGUGUCGCGCACGGGGACCGGUCCCCUCAGCCAGGGACCGGUCGCAUCGGCCUUGCCCCGCGACCCUCAGCUACGGGGACCGGUCCUUCCCUCUAGGGACCGGUCCCCGAGAGCAAAAAUCUGCUGAGUCCAGAUUUUAUCUAUUUGCUCUCGCGGACUCAACUCCAAAGCACUUUUUGUGUUUUGGGCAUUCUUAACUCCCACAAAGGGUAUUCUCUCGACAGUGAGUCGAUCCUGGACAAAGUACAAUCCUCGUAUUUCGAGAAUUCACUUCCUUACACUGGCAUUAGGCUCUGACGUGCUCCAGGAAGCUGAGGACAAGAUUCGUAUUGCUCGGGAGCGACUUUUGACGGCACAGAGUAGACAUAGGAGCUACGCCGACCGACGACGGUGAGACUUGGAGAUCCAAGUUGGAGACCAUGUUUUCUUAAAGGUCUCGCCGACUAGAGGGAUCAGGAGAUUCAGGAUUCGGGGAAAGUUGAGCUCCCGUUUCAUUGGACCGUAUGAGAUUUUGGAACGUGUAGGUCCGGUAGCGUAUCGACUUGCUCUACCACCGAACCUAUCGGGCGUACACAACGUCUUCCAUGUAUCGGUCCUUCGGAAGUACAUCUUCGACCCGACUCAUGUGUUGGAUGCUACACCUGUGGAGUUGCGGGACGACUUGAGCUUCGAGGAGCAACCAGUGAAGAUCUUGGCUCGCGAGGUUAAGAAACUACGGAAUCGGGACAUUCCGUAUGUAAUGGUCCUUUGGAGCAACCACGAGGAUCGGGAGGCCACGUGGGAGCUAGAGAGCGCGCUGCAGGAGCGCUAUCCCCAUCUCUUACAGAUGGAGUCUUGAGGUAUGUAGUUUGAUUUCGAGUUUCGCGGACGAAACCCCUUUUUAGGAGGGGUGAAUGUAACACACUGGACCUUUGCAAAUUGCGAGGUUCAAGUGUUUGAUCUGUGUUCCGAGCUUUGCCAGAUAUUCUGGAAGGUCGUUGACAGUGUUUUGACCUAUGGCUCGCAUCCCAAGAAUUGAGGUUUAAAGCUUGUACCAAAAUCCAAAAAGAUGGAUUGUUGGUCCUGCUCUCGGGUCAGCCUCAGCCAGGCUGUGUACCGGUACAGCCUUGAUGGUUGUACUGGUACAGGAUUUGUACCGAUACACCUUGAUGAUUGUACCGGUACACUUCGGGUUUUCUACCAACCCGAGGCUCGGGUUGGGCUGUUUCAUAGGAAGUGUACCGGUACACUUUCCCGUGUACCGGUACACUUUCCCGUGUACCGGUACACAAUGCAGACUGGGCUGUUUUCGAGGAGGGGUGUAUUUGCAAUUAUUGCAACCUCUUUAAAUACCACCCCAGCCCCUUUAGCUGCUCUUUUGAGCCCUAGACCUGUGGAGAAAAGGUGAGAACUCUUCCCCUUUGGAUUCUUCUCCAUUUUUGGUGGAUUUUAGUUGGUUUUGAUCUCUCCUUUCUUCUCCUCCUUGUUUUUUGUUGGGUUUCCUCCAUUGUUGAGACUUGGAGCUUGAAGAAGAGCUUGUUUGAGAAGAGAUCUCCAACCCUACUUGGUUUGGAGCUUGGUUUGGGGCAUCUUGUGAGGUUUGUAGCAUGUAUUUCUCUUUUCAUACAUGUUUUAGUGGAUUUGGAUCUUGUAACCCUAGAUUUUGAGAUUUAGGGUUAGAACUAGGAACUUUUGAUUUGAGGCUUCUAGAACCAAAUUGAUUGGUUUAGAAUCAUGGUUUAGGUUGGCUUUGAAGGAUUCUUACUCCCUUUUGGAAAUCAAGAGAGAUUUUCACCAUUUUCGGUGAGUUUUUAGCCCUUUCUUUGAGUUGCUUAAUGUUUGAACUCAUGAAUUGUCGUUUCGAUGUUACUCCCCUAGCCUAUCUCUUAGGGUGCUAGGAGUGAUUAUCGAAGCUUCGUUAGCGUUUCGGACGCCCGCGCGGAGCUUUUGGUGGGUUCGGCUUCAUGUGAAUAGGGGAAAAUUCCUCCUAAGGGGUUAAUAUGUGUUGUAUUAUCAUUUUGCAUGCAUUUUCAUACUAGAUAGGAUUUAUGUGAAUUUUGAAUACUUAAAAUGCAUGUGUUGCGUAUCAUGAAAAUCCUUCUCUACAUAGUAGAGCAUUAUGUGUAGUGUACAUGAAUGUUUAAAGUAUUCUCUUUUUCAAGUUGGAAAAUAUGUUGCAUGUGAGGAAGAUGGUUGAAAUAUGUAUUCAUGAAUAUUAAACUCAUGUUUGAAUAUAGUGAACUAGAAUGCCAUAAAGGGGCACUUGACUUAGCAAAUUGUGAAAUUGCAACAUAGAGACAUAGUGAUAGGCCAUCGAGACAUAUGCUAUAUUUCAUGUUUUAGACAUGACGACAUAGUGAUAGGCCAUUGAGAUAUUUUCCACAUUCCAUGUUUUAGACAUGAUGACUUGGUAUUUGAGACGGACUUUUACGCUUGCUUGCCAUUGUGCUCAUUCACACAUGCUUGUAAGGGUCGCUCCCUACAAGCCGGCACUCCGGAGAUAGCCAUCGCGACAUAUGCUCGCUCGUGCGGGAUUGGGCGCCGAAAUGGAAUGCCGUGGGGGAAGCUCAUUCCUAGAGUGGGGAUGUUGACUACCACGGGGCCAUUAGGCACGGCGCAGGCCAGACAGCCUACGGAUGGGUCUUACAUGAUUGGAACUUAGUGACAGAACAUGCCAUUUGGACUUUGACCAGAAUAGUAAACAAUGACAUUUACUAUUUAGCUUGUGGACAUUAUGUUAGUGAUGCUCGUUUAUAUUCUGUUACAGUAGCUUUAUUACUUAUGCAAUUCAUGCUAAGUAGAGAUAUCAUGUUGUAGUAAGUUACAUGUUUACUUACAUAUCGAUUCUAUUGCUUUUAUUGUUACUUACCUGUUUAGCUCUUUUGGGCCUAGUGGUGCUUUCACUGAAGUCAGUAAUUGCCACUGGGAACUAUUAUUUAAUAGUUCUCACGCCCCCGUUUCUAUGGUUUUAUUUCAGAGCCCUCUACACCGGUGGAGGCACGGGACCGCGGCAAGGGGAUCGCUUAGCUAGCUAGCGAGGAGCGUUUCUUUUGCAUUUUGGUAGUUCGCUCUCCUUUUGUUGUAGUUGAGAGAGAGAGAGUUAUGUUAGUACCUUGUAUAGAGAGACCACCUAUGUAUCUGGUUUAGCAUUUGUACUUUGGAUGUUUAUUGUACUACUUUCUAUUUUUUCUUAGUGGAUUUAGCUCUAUAUUCAUUUCGGUUAUUGUAGCAUCUAGACAUACUUGCUCUGAUACUGCUAGAUGUUUUCUUUAUCUUGCUUUAUUUAUCGUUUUAUUUUAGACGCCUUAUAUGUUUUAGACGUAUGCCGGGUCUGGGCACGUGCCGGGCGGGCUUUCGCUGGGUCCCGGGGCGUGACAACGGAACUCAUAGCAAGUAUGAUCCAUUCUUAACUCUAAGGAUAUAUAGUUCAAUCAUUGUCUUUACACUAACUCUAGUGUUCUUUACAUCACUUUAUUUUGCUAACUCUAGCAAUCAUCGUUCUUUAACUUUACUCGUUCUUUAUGCCAAACUUUGCAUUAACUUUAACCAUUAUCAUUGUUCUUUUCAUCACAUUGAUUCUUUGAUGCCACACACUAACUUUAGUGUCGACUAUAUACUUUCGAAUGCCACUCGAUCUAUGCUCAUUGUGUCUCGUUGUUCUUUUGCCUCACUUGGGUGCUCACAUUUUAUCUCAUGCAUACAUAUAGGGUUAAACAUUCAUAGGGGUUCUCAACCAUCUCAUUAGGCAAAUUGUACUCACAACAUGCAACAUUACAUUAUUCUCAUUACAUAUACCCUACUAUGCUUGCAACAAUGUAUAUAACAUAUACUCAAUUGAAUGACACACUAGGCAUAGAAGGAAGUUCAACGAGUUUGGAUAGCACCACCCACCUCGUAGGUUCUCAAAGGUGCUCCGACGAUUUUCUUGGGAUUUUUAGACACCCGGUUCGCUACCUGCGAGUUAACGAAGCCAAAUUAGGCUUAUUUGGCCGUAACUUUACAUCGGGUUUUCGUAACGUUAAUCCGAGCACACCAACGCGUCGGAAAUACCCCCAAUUAGGUUUCUAGAGGGUCAAUUGCACUUUAGAACCCUCGCAAGCAAAAGCCCCAAUUUUGGUGCCCUAGCUCAUAACAUACAUCAAACCUAGGGUUUGAUCUCAUUGGGAAGCAAAAGAAGCUUCAUUCUACGCUAAAGACUCCACAAAAACCAUCUUUAGUUCAAUCCAAACCCUAGUUUGGAUUCUACCAUGAGAGGGGUUGAAGCUCUCCUUCAAGCUUCACCUUCCACACCAUUCCAUGGUUUUGAUCUCAAAAUGAAGCAAAAGAUAGCUUCAAACACUCUAUAGGUUCUAUUAAAACCAUUUCUAGGUCCAUCCAAACCCUACUUUGAGCUUUACCACUAUUGGGGUUCAAAGCUUACCUUGUAAGCUUUCCUUUUCCAAGCUAGGGAAGGAGAGGAGGGGUCUUCUUCUCUUCCUUGCCUUCUUCUUCACCUUCUUCCUCUUCUUUUCCUUUCUUCUUCUUGUCUUCUUCUUCUCCUUCUUGUCUUCUAGAGAGAGAAAGAGAGAUGAGAGGGGGAGUGUGAGGGAGAGAAUGAGAUGAAAAGCCCUCAAAGCCCCCCACUUAACCAUUGGGUUGCACAAAUGCAAAUAGGCCCCUCAACUUUCACUUUAUUGAACUGCUUGAACUGGGCAGUUUUCGGGUUCGGGGACCGGUCUCCCAACUUGGGACCGGUCCCAGAGAGCUCUCCCGCAGCUCAGUGAGGGCCUUCGCACGAGGCAACCGGUCUCUCCCACAGAGACCGGUCUCUCGGGGACCGGUCUCUCCCCGCAGGGACCGGUUCCCGAGAGCUGGUUUUCUGGGACUUAGCCGAUUUGCAGCCUUUCUCAUUUCUCACGCGUUCGGGGACCGAUCUCUACCACCAGGGACCGGUCCCCGAGAGCUCAAAAACUGUAGUUUGCAGAUUUUUGAUUCUUUAGCUCUCGAAAACCUCCCACAACGCAUUUUUGAUCAUUUUAACACCUUCGGACUUUCCGAAGUGUACCACCCUCGCACUUUGGUCAAUUUGACUAAAGUUCGAUAUUUAUUUUUCAAAUUUUCGGUAUAUUACAUUCUCCACCCUUAAAAUAAUUUCGUCCGCGAAAUUACGCAUACCUUAACUCGUCGAUUCAAAUAGAUGUGGAUACUCUCUCCGCAUGAUCUCCUCGAGCUCCUAAGUGGCUUCUCGCGCCGCAUGGUUGCUCCAUUGGACCUUCACAUAUGGAAUUCUGCGACUCCGCAGCUUCCUUUCUUCUCGAUCGAGGAUGCACACCGGGUACUCCUCGUAAGACAUAUCUUCACGUAGCUCCACGGGCUCGUACUCCAAUAUAUGUGUCGAGUUUCGAAUAUACUUUCGGAGAUUUGACACAUGAAAAAUAUUGUGAACUCCUGCGAGUCUCGAUGGUAGUGCGAGCUUGUAUGCUACCGCACCCACACGCUCCAAUAUCUCAAACGGUCCGACAUAACAGGGACUUAGCUUCUCGUGGACCCCAAACCGCUUUACUCCUCGCAUCGGCGAUACUCUCAAAAAUACGCGGUCUCCAACCGCGAACUCUAAAUCUUUUCUUCUCUUGUCGGCAUAACUCUUUUGCCGAGAUUGUGCCGCCGCUAACCGUUGACGGGCAAGGCGAACUGUAAUGCAUUGGAAAAUUGACCUUGAGCUAAUUGUAAUCAAGUUGAUCACAAUGAUGUCAAAAUAGAAAUUAAGUGUUAAUGAACUUAAUUAGUAGAUUGAGAACAACAAUUGACUUAUUUUGGAACUGUGUAAGUGGGCUCGAAGUGAAUCGGAAGUGCCAAGUGUCACGCCCCGCCCCGAAACCACUACCAAUUUGGCACGGUUCGGUCGCGGCGACAGACCGCCGAACGGACAGCACCUCCCCUGUCCACCCAAGGCUCAACAACAGGAAUGUGUACAAGGAUUUACCCAGGACUUUAAAUUCUAAACAUACACAUUCAACGAGGGCACAAACAGUGCCAACAACGAGAAGAGCAAGUAAUCCACAAGAUAUAGUAUGUGAAAUAAAGAGAGUACUUUACUAACUAUUACAAUAGUUACAUUCUUUACAUUUACAUCAUUCUCCAAAAUGAAUACAUUUGAUCCUCAAAAUACAUAGCUCUCCAACCUCACCAUCAUGAAUCUCUCUCAAUACAUAGGUGUGCUAAUGCAAAAAGGGAAGCUACUAUACUACCACGGUCUCACUGAUCGGGCGCGAUGCCCUUGCCGCGGUCCUCUCUCGGCAACCCUGUACCUACCACUGGAAAUGGGAUGGGGUGAGAACUAUAUUCCAUAGAUUCCCAGUGGUCGGCCGCCGACUCUGCUGAUUCUCCCACUAGUGUCAAGUUGGGCAUCAGAGCAACAAACAGGUAGAUAGAUAGAUAGAUAUCUGAAAGUUUGUAAUAUGCAAGUUAGUAGCGAAAACUAUGCUUACAUAUGCCCAUAAUCAUGUAAUGUGGAUGCACUGCAUCUAAUAAAUAAGUUUUUACCAGGGCUAACAGAUGUCAUAUCCAUGUUCGAAUAGCUUAGUGUUCAAUGACAUUUAUUAACAACCUUAACUCUUUAUUUACCCAAUCUGUGGCGAGGCCUUAGGGCUGGCCAAUUACUCAGUCUUCAAAUCCCAAAGUGUGGGAAGUGGAGCUCCAAGUGACACCAGCCCGGGACCGUCUGGGGACUCAUUGGUCCGGACCUCCAAGUGGUCCUAGUUCGCGGUGACACUCGCGGACACUCGACGACAAUCCCUCCUAUGUGGGGAAUUGGAUGGCUAUACACCCUAACGCGACUGUGAGCCUAAUCUAUCCUCGAGUGAGGGAUACACUUGACAACUAGGUCAACACCAAGUCGCAGAUCUCUCAAGUAAUGGAGGCUCUACAACAGCUAGCGCUCACAUAAUCCAACUCGAAUCCUCUCCAAGUGAGGAAGCACUCUAUAACUAGAGUCAACAUCUCUCGCGGGAUCAUUUGUUCCCGACAUCCAUGCAAUGCUAUUUAGUUUUCUAAAUUCAUUGUUCACAAGGCAUUUUCUAAGGGAUCCACCUAUCCCUAGGUCCAUCGACCUCUAGUGUCAUUUACACUACAUUAAUGCCACUCGUCAUCAUUUAACAUUUGGAUGCCACUCGUGUGUUCUUUAACACUAAACACUACUUUCUAUGUCAUCAAUACCCCCAUCGGGUUCACCUCUUUUCUUUUACAUCAUAGGAUCCACGUUCCGACCCAAUCCUCACCUAUCUAAGUUACCAAGCGUUCCAAGUACACUAGGUUAUCAUUUAGAAAGCAUAAGGAAUGGAGCUACUAUGCAAUCCUACAAUGCAACAUGAAGAGAUGAGAUCAAAUGCAAUCUAAGACAUAGAAAGGAGUUCGAAAGCUUCGGGAUGACACCCCCCACCUUUUACCAACGUAGAGGUUUUAGAAGCGCUCCUCGACGAGCUUUACGAAAAGGCUUUUGCCUUCCCUAAUCCAAGAUAGCGCCGAAACGACCGUAAUUCGCCGAUUGUUCUAAGUCCGCUCGACGAAUCGCGAAAUCGACUUCGCCCCCGCGUUUGGGCACCUAUCGAUGAGGUUUACAAGGCCUCAAAUGAGAUCAAUCUCAUACUUUACAAAAUGCCCCCAUUUGGAGCCCUAGGUUUGCACAUAUAGCAAACCACCAAUAAAAUCCUAGAUUCUUGGGAUUGAUCUACUUAGAAGCAUGCUUGGGGUCCAUUUGACCCAUUCCAAAGCAUAAAAACCCAAAGCCCUAAGUUUACAAAGUAGGGUUUAGUAGCUUACCUCAAGAGCUACACCAAUGGGAAGAGGAGAGGGAGAUGGAGGUGCUCCAAGCCUUCCUCUUGAUCUCCUUCUUUUUCUCCUUCCUUAUCUUCUUCCUCUUUUCCUUCCUCUCCUUCUUGUUCUCCUUCUCCUUCUUUCCUUUCUAGAGAGAGAGGGAGAGAAAUAGAGAGAUGAGAGUGAGAGAGAGGAAUGAGAGAGUGUGAGGGAGAGAGAGGGCCCAGCCCACUCUAAUAAAGGCCAUUUUGCAUUUAGACCCCUCAACUUUUAACCCCUUGCGCAGCCCUCGCUGGGCAGUUUUCGUGCAGAGGGACCGGUCUCCCCGACUUGGGACCGGUCCCCGAGAGCUUCCCUCGGGCGCACGCGUUCGGGUACCGGUCUCUCCCCGGGAGACCGGUCCUCGGGAGACAGGUCCUCGCCUGAGAGACCGGUCCCCGAGAGCUCAAUUUUCAGGACUUAGCCAAAUCUCGGCAUUUCUCGCUGGAACCACGUUCGGGAACCGGUCCCUCACUGCCAGGGACCGGUUGCACCAUGCAACCCCGCACGCCCAGCCGAUGGGACCGGUCUCUCACCUCCAGAGACCGGUCCCCGAGAGCAACUUCAGCCCAAUAAUGCUGUUUGCAUCGUUAGCUCUCGUGGACUCAACUCCAAAGCACUUUUUGUGUUUUGGACAUUUUUAACUUCCCCAGAGGGUAUUCUCUCAACAAAUAGUCGAUCCUGGACGAAGUAUAACUCUCGAAUUUCGAGAAUUCACUUCCUUACAUUCUCCCCUCCUUAAAAGGAGUUUCGUCCUCGAAACGAACAAAUUCUUUAACUUUUAAUUUAAACUUAUACCUCACUCCUCAAACAGAUGAGGAUGGUGCUUUCUCAUCAGAUCCUCGAGUUCCCAGGUGGCCUCGCGAUCAUCAUGAUUGCUCCACCUGACCUUUACAUAGGGAAUUUCUCGAUUCCUCAACUUUCGCACCUCUCGGGCGAUAAUUCCUACCGGAAACUCUUCAUAGCUCAAGUCUCCUUGAAGUUCCGGCGGUUCAUAUAGCAUCGCAUGCUCCGGGUCGUGAAUAUACUUGCGGAGAUUGGAGACAUGGAACACAUUGUGCACAUCCGCAAGUUUCGGCGGUAAAGCAAGCCGAUACGCCACCGUACCAACUCGCUCCAAUAUCUCAUAUGGCCCAAUGUACCGGGGACUCAGUUUUCCCCGUACUCCAAACCGCUUCACACCACGCAUUGGUGAAACCUUCAGAAAUACGCGGUAACCCACCGCGAACUCUAUAUCUCGUCGGCGCCUAUCUGCAUAGCUUUGCUACCUCGACUGCGCCGUGAGCAAUCUCUUGCGAGCAAGGCGGACUUUCUCCUCCGCUUCUCGCAACACAUCAGGGCCGAACUCUGCCCGUUCACCUACAUCGCUCCAAUGUAUAGGAGACCGACACGUCCGCCCAUAAAGAGCUUCGAACGGUGCCAUCUCUAUACUCGCAUGAUAACUGUUAUUGUAGGCGAACUCGGCCAUAGGUAGGUGAUCACACCAACUUCCCUUAUAGUCGAUGACACACGCUCGCAACAUAUCCUCCAGAGUUUGAAUGGUUCUCUCUGUUUGCCCAUCGGUUUGAGGAUGAAAUGCGGUACUAAAAUCGAGCCGUGUGCCAAGGGCUUCUUGCAGGCUUUUCCAAAAGUGUGAAGUGAACCGGGGGUCACGAUCCGACACGAUCGAUUUCGGCACCCCAUGCAGUCUCACUAUCUCGUCAAGAUAUACCCGCGCUAACUUGUCACCCGACCACGUGGUGUGGAUCGGCAAGAAGUGAGCCGACUUCGUCAAUCGGUCCACAAUUACCCAAAUUGCAUCGUGGCCGCCCGUUGAGCGAGGCAAGCUGACCACGAAGUCCAUCGAUAUAUCUUCCCAUUUCCAAACGGGGAUUGGUAGGCUUUGAAGCUUUCCCGCUGGAAAUCUACGCUCUGCCUUCACUUGCUGGCAUGUUAAGCACUUCGCCACAAAGCGUCCAACAUCACCCUUCAUUCCCGGCCACCAAUAGUGCAUUUUUAGUCCUUGAUACAUCUUGGUGCCGCCCGGGUGAUCAGCAUACGGAGAUCUGUGUGCUUCUUGUAGAAUCAACUCGCGAAGCUCUCCAUCCUUCGGCACACACCAUCGGUUUCUAAACCGAAGCGCACCAUCGGCGUUUAUACUAAAAUCGCCGCCUCGACCAUCCUCGAUGUUUCGCCGCACCUUCUGGAGUUCUGGGUCCGCAGGUUGCAGAUCUUUAAUCCUCUCCAACAAGGUCGGUUGGACAACGAGUGCCAUCAACUGGGCUGGAAUCUCGGGAGGAACCACUUCAAGGUCCAAUCGCUUCAUAUCCAGCCACAGGGGUGUUUGCUGGGUAACAUCAAAAGCGAGAUUCUUCGCCGACUUUCUACUCAGCGCAUCCGCAACCACAUUUGCCUUCCCGGGGUGGUAGAGGAUAUCGACAUCAUAAUCCUUUAACAACUCCAACCACCGCCGCUGACGCAUAUUGAGCUCCUUCUGAGUAAACAAGUACCUUAAGCUCUUGUGGUCGGUAUAAAUCUCACAAUGGGCACCAUAUAAGUAGUGCCUCCACAGCUUCAGGGCGAAAAUUACCGCCGCCAGCUCCAAGUCGUGGAUGGGGUAAUUCUUCUCAUAGCUCUUCAGCUGACGGGAUGCAUAAGCAAUCACCUUCCUGUUUUGCAUCAAUACACACCCCAACCCAAGAUAGGAAGCAUCACUGUAGACUACGAAGUCUUCGCCUUCCACCGGUAGAGCGAGCACCGGAGUUGAAGUCAAUCUUUGCUUCAACUCUUUGAAACUUCGGUCGCACUCCUCGCUCCAAACAAACUUGGUGCCUUUCUGGGUCAGGCGGGUAAGUGGAAUUACUAUCUUGGAGAAGCCUUCCACAAACCGCCUAUAAUAGCCCGCCAAGCCCACGAAGCUUCGAACCUCCGUGACGUUCGUCGGGCGCGGCCAAUCCUUGAUUGCCUCAACUUUCCUCGGGUCUACUGAAACUCCACCCGCGGAAAUCACAUGCCCUAAGAAGGCGACUUCGCGAAGCCAGAAGUCACACUUCUUUAGCUUAGCAUAUAGCUUCUCCUCCCGAAGGACUUGAAGCAGUUUCCUCAAAUGUUCGGCAUGUUCCUCGUCACUUCGAGAAUAGACCAAUAUGUCGUCUAUAAAGACCACGACAAAUUGGUCCAGAUACUCUCUGAAGACACGGUUCAUCAAAUCCAUAAACGCCGCUGGAGCAUUCGUGAGUCCAAAUGGCAUAACCGUGAACUCGUAGUGUCCAUACCGCGUACGAAACGCGGUCCUUUGCACAUCCUCCGGUUUGAUCUUCAAUUGAUGGUAGCCGGAUUACAAGUCUAUUUUCGAGUACACACACGACCCUUGCAACUGAUCGAACAGGUCAUCGAUUCAGGGUAGUGGGUACUUGUUCUUGAUCGUGACUCUAUUCAAUUCUCGAUAAUCCACGCAGAGCCUAAACGAUCCAUCCUUCUUCCUCACGAAUAACACCGGGGCUCCCCACGGUGAUACACUCGGCCGGAUAAAUUGCUUGUCAAGGAGGUCUUGUAGUUGACUCCUCAACUCCCUUAGUUCCGCCGGCGCCAUUCGGUACGGAGCCUUCGAGAUCGGCGCGGUACCGGGAACCAAGUCUAUGACGAACUCGAUCUCCCGAUCCGGUGGUAUCCCCAGCAACUCUGCGGGAAACACAUCCGGGAACUCCCGCACUACCGAGAUCUCCUCCAACAUUGGAGUGACUCGUUCCACCUCUACAACGGUCGCCAAGAACGCUGCACAACCGUUGCUCACCAACUUUCUUGCUCUCGUCGCCGACACCGUCGCGACGAAACACGUGCUCUGGCAAGCUCGAUAGGUGAAUUCUUUCUGUCCUGGCCCACGAAACGUGAUCACCCUGCUCUUGCAGUCAAUCGUGGCGUGGUAUUUCGAGAGCCAGUCCAUACCCAGAAUAACAUCAUAAGCCUCAAGCUUCUGGAGUCCUAGUGUCCGAAUAGGCAUUAUCCAUUCGCCUAUUUGUACCGGACACGAGGCGCACUCUGUGUAGGUAUUGAAUGUCGAUCCAGGGCCCUCCACUCGCCACUUGUCACUCGCUUCUAUAUGUAUGCCAUGCAUGCGUGCGAAUGAUCUACUUAUGAAUGAAUGCGUGGCUCCUGUAUCAAAUAGAGCCCUGGAGCGAACUCCGUUAAUCAAAACCAUACCUGCCACAAGGCGAUGCUCCUCCGCCUCCGCAGGUUCCUCGGCCUGAACCUGAGCUGCAAAUACCCGUCCGCUCGGGGCCGAUCGCGCCAUCUCAGGUUGACGCGGUGUCAUCGCGCGUCCUGUCGACGCGGCCGUCGGUGGAGCUCCUCCAUAAUAUGCCGGAAUCGCCGGCGCCGAUGCAAUCGAUGGGGCAGGUGAGGCUCCUCCUCCCGGGCAGUCCCGAAUGAAGUGCCCCGGUUGCCCACACUUGUAGCACUUGCCCCGGCCUUGUUCACAGCGCGAAACUGGGUGGUCUCCGCAGCAUACAAUGCAUCGCCGCGCUCCACCGUUUUUCUGUUGAGCGCGCGGGUACUUCGGGGGUCUCUUAUAACGUGCUUGACCACCCGAACUACCGCCGCCUUGGCGUUUCUUGCCCUUAUCCUUGGACUCCGCCAAAAGCUCACGCUUCUCCCGCACGUGGGCAUCUCCGUGCUCCGCCCAUAGGGCUCGAUCAAAGACCUCAGCAAAGGUCGUGAGCUUGAGUAUUUGCACGGCCUUGUAGAUUCCCGGCCGAAGUCCUCGCAAGAACCACUCGGCCCGGUCCCGGUCAUCCUUUACAACAUCCGGGACACAAUCUAUGAUGUGGGAGAAUUCCUGUUCAUACUCCGCCACUGGGCGGUCCCCUUGCUCUAGCUUGCCGAACUUCUCCUUGAGCUUCCGCUUCAAUGUAUCGGGGAAGUAGUUGGCGAACAUCUCCCGCUUGAAUUCCUCCCACAGCAUCGGCGGAAGGCCGGGAAGCCGAUCCCACUUGACGCGCUUCCACCAAACCUUUGCCGCCCUUUCCAAGCAAUGGGUGGCGAGAUACACCUUGUCCCUCUCCAAGGUACGCAAGUCGUCGAAGAGGGUUUCCAUCGAGUCGAUCCAAGACUCGACCAUUGCCGGUUCCACCUUCUCACCCUCAAAGGUCGGCGGAUGGAACUUGUUGAACUUGAUAAGAGCCGCUAGCGCACGCUCUCCUUCCACGUCUUCGGCCGUCACGUCGGGUGUAGUCGAUCCCGACGCCGCCGGUGGCACGAUCGCCGGCGGGGGACGCGCCGCCACCGGGACCGCCGCUAUGCCCUCACCCUCAGCUGGCUCAGGUACACGAGCCGAGGGCGCGGGCACAUCGCGUCCGUCCGUCGCCGUUGCGGCCGCUGCCGCUGCCUGCCGCUCCAAGAGCUCCUGGAGCCGCUCGAAUCGGUUCUCCUGGCGCUGCACCACAUCGGUCAGCGCGGACACUUGCGCUUGCAACCGAUCCAUCACGCUCGGUUCUCCCUGCUCGGGCACCUCAGGAGUCGGUGCCGGAGUAGAUCUACGUGUGUAGCGUCUUGGAGACAUUAGUCCCUGAAACGCAAAUACUCGGUUAAUCAUCUUAACCCGUUAACCUCGUCGCAAUUACGACACAUGACAACUUAAUGGCAAAAUCGGGCGGAAGCAUACAAGUGUACUCGUUCUAGGCUCUUGGCAUCAUGUCGUCGGCCGCCGACACAACCACCUCAAGAUAAGAACUUAUACCACUUGAAUUCGUCUCUAAUCACAACUAGAGACCUAUACCCACUUCGACCCAAUCGAAUUGACUUCCGCCAUCGUUAUAGGUUCACGUUCCGCUCACGCACCUAUAACCUUAGGGCUCACCAACCUAGGGUCUCCUAGGUCAUCCUAGACUUUCUCUCUUUACUUGCUCUCAUUGCUCUGAUACCACAAAAGACUGUCACGCCCCGCCCCGAAGCCACUACCAAUUUGUCACGGUUCGGUCGCGGCGACAGACCGCCGAACGGACAGCACCUCCCCUAUCCGCCCAAGGCUCAACAACAGGAAUGUGUACAAGAAUUUACCCAGGACUUUAAAUUCUAAACAUACACAUUCAACGAGGGCACAAACAGUGCCAACAACGAGAAGAGCAAGUAAUCCACAAGAUAUACGAGUGAAAUAAAGAGAGUACUUNNNNNNNNNNNNNNNNNNNNNNNNNCGAAGGCUUAAGGAGCGGAUUUGCCGCAAUGUGCAAUUAGGCGCUCCAAAAGUGGAUUUUGAUACAUAAGAGGGUUUUCUUCUCAGAUUGACCCUUCUCUAACCUAAUUGUGGUCUAUGCAACGCUACGGUGCGCUCGUUCGUCGAUCCGACGGUGUUACGCCGAAUAUUUGAGGAUCGAAGCGUUAAGCGGUACGAUGCCGCAGCUCGCCAGGCGAAAGCUUGCCAAAUCUGGAAAUGGAAUCGUAGCUGUGGUGUUUUGGGGAAUAAAUCCCAGAAUAGACGUAUGCGCGGAUGAGUAUUUUGGCAGUCGCGCGUGGUUGGGUGCGAGGCCGUGCGCGGCAUGCGCCGCCAGGCGCCGAUGCCGAGUGACGCACGAGCAAGUCGAACGCUAUAGAAAGGUGGUGAGUGUCCAUCCCGAAGCCAUCGGCUCCCUUUUGUCUUAAGUUUAUAUGAUUCAGCUAUGCAUUAAUUGACAUCUUGGCAUUGUGGGUAUAAAUGAGGUGUGGUUCUAUACCUUGCAUGUUCCUUGGUAAAUAAUAUUUGGCUAGUAUUUAUAUCUAGCAUGCUUAGGUUUAUAUCAUGUGAUGUGAACCCUAUAAUCGAGAGAUAAGUGUGAUGGGAAUUUAGUAAUGUAUUGACUAUUGCCAUUGGAAAUUGUAAAGAACGAGUGAAUCUAGUUUGAUAGUCAAACAAAGAACGAGUGACAUAUGUGGCAGUCAAGUGUAUAUAAACCUAGGACUAUAUGAUGAUUAAUAACCUAGAGGAAUCAGGGUAUUCUCGAGAUGAGGAUUGGAUCAUGCUCGCGGUCUGUUAAAUCUUGAUGAUGGAACCCACACAAGUAUGCCGCUCCGGCAUGUUGGUCCGCAGGAUGCCAAUGGCAGCGCCAGAAACGGUACCUGGUCCCCGAUAGUGUGAAGUGUAAUUCUCUACCUAUUCGAGAAUGGCUAGUGAGCUGUGGCGAGCCUUCGGUAAGCCAUUGAGAUUAAUAACAAGUAAGUAUGAGUUAAUGAAACGAGGUGAAUAGGUUCACUUGGACAUGAUAACAGGUUAGUGCUUACCUAUUUCAUUGUACAUGCAGUUGGCAUAUAUUAUGAGUGGGCAUAGGUAAGAGUAGUGUUUACUCGCUGUCAUUAUCGCCGUCCUUAUCUAUCUACUAUCGAUUAUCUAACUUCCGAUUGGACCUAGUGGGGAGAACGCGGAGUCGCCGGCGACGAAACCCACUGGAAACUAAGGAAGUUAGUUUCUCACCGCCCAUUUUACUACAGGGCCGAGCGCGAGUUCACACGGCGAGAUCGGGCGUAAGCCCGCCUUAGUGCCCUAGUUUGCAUUAGGCUACUUCCCUAUUUCUGCAUUAGAGUCACCUUUAUGCUUUGGAGAGUAGACGAUGUAUGGAUGUGAGAUAUUCUGCGAGAAGUAAGCAAUGUUCUAUAUUUGGAAGAUGAAGCUUUUAUUAUGUUUUGGAGGUUCAAUUGUAAUCAUUGUAUUAUAAGAAGCGUUGAAUGAAUGUAAUAGAUUAGAUGCGUCUCUCUUUAUCAAUUACUUGUGAGUGUUCUAUACUUGUAUCUUGCUCUUGGUGCGUGUGCACUGAUUGUGCUCUCGUUCUACAUUAUGAUGUGUAUGUAUUCAAGGUGUUUUUCCUGGUGGGACUUGUUGUAUCACUAUCUUGUUGUUAGCCUUGGGCGGACCAGGGAGUGCUGUCCGUCCGGCGUCUUUGAGCGCCGCCGCCCGAACCACAUUGGGUCAGCUGCGACGCGGGCGUGAACACCUAGUUUCAGUGUAUCCUCACUCGUCGGAGAGAUAGAUCUAGCUCACAGUCUGCGUUUAGGGUGUAUAGCCAUCCAUCCCACAAUAAAGGGGAUUUGCUCGUCGAGUUACUCCGGAGGUCUGCGGCGACUGGACCACUUGGAGGUCACGGACCACAAUGGAGUCGGCAGACGGUCCGCCGGCUUGGAGUUGCACUUGGAGCUCCUCCCAACUUUGGAUUGAAAGCUGUCAGCCCCGCAGACGCUACCAUUGGUCCGUCCGUGCGCGUCGAACAGACGCCGGACGGACACAGCACCUCCCUGUCCGCCCAAGGCUAAACACAGGAUCAUGUAAAACUAGUUCCCUAGGAAAUCAAACUUGCAAUACAUACAAUGAUCAAACAUAGCGAGGGCACAACCAGUGCCGAACUUCAAGAGCCAAAGAUCACAAGUAUAUAACAAGUGAAUAAAAGAAAGAGAUAUUAACUAUCUAUACAUUCACAUUUGACAUUCAACAUUUCAUCCAUUCAACCUUUAAUACAACUUUGAUUAUAUUUAAGCCCUCCAAAACUGAAUACAUAGAUGCAUCUACAUGGAAUAAUGCUACGCUAUCCAAAAUUAAUAUGUCAUUAUAACCAUGCACAACGAGGGUGACUCUUUACAUAGGAAAGCUCUACUAGCUAGCUAGGGCGGCUACAUGCCCUACCUCGAUACCUGCCUCGGUCGCUCACGUGUGUACUUACCUUCCAAAAACACACGGGGUUGAAAUAAUAGUAAAUAUAGUUCCCAGUGGCUUCGCCGCGCACUCCGCCGAUUUCCACUAGGGGGUCAAGUUGUGCACAGAUAGAGUAGACUAGAGAUACAUUGGAAAUUAAAACUGCUACCUAUAUCUUACUAUGCCAAUUCAAAUGCAAGGAAUGCAUGCGAAUAUCAUUUAUCAUGCUACGUAUGCUUUAAUAAUGUAAUGAAACAAAUACGACACAUAUGCAUUCCACUAACAUUACUAUGUCGUAAUCGUGGUAUAAGUCAAAUCUGCUUAUCAAUUCAUGUCAUUUACCCAAUCCACUAAGGUACCCCGCCUUUCUCAAAUCACAUAAGGUCGAAGGAUACCCCGCCCUUGUUUUCACCGUCAACAACUCUAAACACAUAGGUAAGGAGCACUACCCCGCCUCGUACCCGACUCCAAGAUCUCAAGUCCUAUAGAUGAAGAGCUACCCGGGGUCCGCCCAACCAUGACUCAAAUGCCUAAGGCGCAAGAGCUACCCGCUCUUCGCCGACUCUAACUCAAACUACAUAGUCAAGAGCUCCGCUCGUAGAUAAAGAGCUACCCGCUCGUAGUAAAGAGCUACCCCGCUCAUAGGUAAGGAGCACCCCGUCAUCAGGUAAAGAGUUACCGCACGUCAAAGUAAACGAGCUACCCCGCCUCAAAUCUAACAGGUGAAGAGCUACCCGCCCUUCCACCUGCACUCAUUCUCAGUCCAUAUGGGUAUGGGCAGCGACCUCCGCUCGUAAUCCCCACCCGAUGAGCUACCCCGCUCAUGAGCUAACCCCCUCGGUGACAAUCUUCAAGUUCCACAACACUAGGUUGUAAUGCUCAACCUAUGUUUAACAACAUUAUAUAAUGCCACUCGAUCUAUCCUAUGCUGUUCGCGACACUAGGUUUACGAUGCCACAUUGCCUCAUAAUUAACAAUAGGUUAACAUUCAAUUUCAUCUAGCAUAUAUGUUCUAUAGAAAGCCAACAUGCAUCAUAAUUGCUAAUAUGCCAUUUAUCACAGCAUGCAAUCCUUUCAUAAUGCACUACUGCAAUACAAUCUCCCAUCACACUAUGUCACAUGUCACGAGUUCAUUAACAAGCCAAGUUUCUUUAUUCCUUAUCUACAUAGAUUCAUGUCUCAACUUAAUCAUCAUGCAUUCUACGAGUUUUAAGUGUCAAGUCUAUAAUACUACACAACUAGACAUGCGAAUGCAAGAAAAUUAGAAAUUAUAACUAUCUAUAUCUAUAACUCAUAAGAACCACUAUUAUAUAAAUCAUGAUCAACUAUUUUACUCGGACAUAGAAGGAAGCGCCAUUGCUGUCGGAUAGACACCCCCACCUUUUAACAACAUUCCGAUUGCCGCUCUCACUCGCAAUCGCGUCCACGCGGCGGCACGCCGCUCGCCUCGACCGCUAUCCGCUGCGCGCCACCAAACGACCUCCGAUCACGCGAUGCCGAAAUUAUAGGUCUUCGCUUUCUCGCUAACGGUGCUCAAAUCCCGUUCCACGAUUUUAUGGAAGCGCCUCGACUCCCCAAGGUCAUAUGAACUCGACGCAACACUUGAUCAGCCGGACGUCGCAUCCGCUCGACAAUCGACGAACGCCUCGCUUCCUACGCGUUCGAGACGAAACAAUUAGGUAGUUCUGUGACCACUCAAAAUAGAUCAAACUCCAACUACUUACAAAAACCCACAUUUUUAACCCAUACGGUUUGCGGCAAUUAGUAAAAAUCCACCAUUAGUGGCUUUGAAUUUUAAGCUUUGAAUCAUCUAUUAAGCAUCAAAAGGUCCACUAAAUCCAUUUAUUACAGGAUUAAAACCUAGCUCUAGCUAACUCUACCAUUAAAGCCCUCAUUUUGGACCAUAUAUCUGCAACUACAUGGAAAAAUCCCCAUUAAGCUUUGGAUUCAAGUAUUAAUCAUGAGACUACCUGCUAGCAUUCCAUCUAAAUCAUUCUUAGAGAUGAAACCAACCUAAGAAAAUCACCAUUAGAGCUUAAGCCUACCUUCUGCAAAGCUUACUCCCAAACCCAAGAACAAGAUGAAGAAUGGUGAAGUCCACCUCUUGACCUUCUCUCCUUCUUCUUUCUCCCUUCUUAUCUCUUCUCCCUUCUGUUCUAUUUCGUUUAGAGAGAUUUGAGAGAGGGAGAGAGUAAUGUGAGGGAGUGAGGGAAAUGAGAAAAGAAGAGAGAAUAGACAUGCUCUCUUAAUCCCCUCUUGCAUAUUGUACAUUUCAAUAAGCCCCUCUAAUCUUCUCCAACCUGCAACAGCCCAAACUGGGUGUUUUCUGCUCGGGCACUGGACCCCCUGGUGAUGAGACCCGUCCCCGACGACCAGAAUUCAGGCAUUUUCAGACUUAGCAAAUUUUUCAGCCUUUUUCGUUUCGGGUGCCGUCUUUCGCUCGUUUUUUGCUCGUUUGACCUCCGAUUCUUUUCAAUCGAAACCGGAGACUCUCCAAACAUGUUUUCGAGCAUGUUUCCAUUCAUACUCGUUCAUCUCCGCUAAUGCCGGAUUUAGUUCAUGGUUCACGACAUUAGCCUUUCGGAUCCCGUUCCGCGCUACGCCGCCAGCGCGAAUCGCCCGAUUCACUCCGAACUUCACCAACUUCACGGAAACCCUUCAAAUGGCUCUCCAACCAAAUUUAACACGCAAUAUUCAUAAUUUUAGAAGUCCGGACCUUACAGAAAGAUGGGUUCAUGGGCGAGCCCUAAGGCCUCGCCACAGAUUGGGUGAUGAAAGUUAAAGGUUAAUGAAUGUCAUUGAACAUAGCCUAUUCUCGAACAUGUGAUCGAAUUAGUUAGCGAUGGUACAAACCUUAUUAUAUAUGCAUGCUAUCACUAUUCGAAUGAUUAUGGAUGGUAGCUAUAGUUUUCCUACUACCGCAUUAACAGCUUUUCAUGAAUAUUAUCUAUCUAUCUCCUGUUGUUGCUGUGCCCAUUGGACCUAUGUGGGAGCUCGCAGAGUCGGGCCGAGCCACUGGGAACUGAUGGAAGAUAUUCUCACCCACUUUAUUCCGUGGUAGGUACCGGUUGCCGAGAGAAGGACCGCGCAAGGGCAUCGCGCCCCGAUCAGUUGACCGUGCGUAAUAAAAUAGAUAGCUUUCCUUUUUGCAUUAGCACACUCUCAUGUUUGAGAGAGAUUUCAGGUAGGUGAGAUUGGAGCUAAUGUAUUUUGAGGAUCAAUGUAUUUCAUUUUGGAAAAUGAUGUAAAUGUAAAGAAUGUAAACUAUUAUAAUAGUUAGUUUAGAAAGCAUAAGGAAUGGAGCUACUAUGCAAUCCUACAAUGCAACAUGAAGAGAUGAGAUCAAAUGCAAUCUAAGACAUAGAAAGGAGUUCGAAAGCUUCGGGAUGACACCCCCCACCUUUUACCAACGUAGAGGUUUUAGAAGCGCUCCUCGACGAGCUUUACGAAAAGGCUUUUGCCUUCCCUAAUCCAAGAUAGCGCCGAAACGACCGUAAUUCGCCGAUUGUUCUAAGUCCGCUCGACGAAUCGCGAAAUCGACUUCGCCCCCGCGUUUGGGCACCUAUCGAUGAGGUUUACAAGGCCUCAAAUGAGAUCAAUCUCAUACUUUACAAAAUGCCCCCAUUUGGAGCCCUAGGUUUGCACAUAUAGCAAACCACCAAUAAAAUCCUAGAUUCUUGGGAUUGAUCUACUUAGAAGCAUGCUUGGGGUCCAUUUGACCCAUUCCAAAGCAUAAAACCCAAAAACCCUAAGUUUACAAAGCUAGGGUUUAGUAGCUUACCUCAAGAGCUACACCAAUGGGAAGAGGAGAGGGAGAUGGAGGUGCUCAAAGCCUUCCUCUUGAUCUCCUUCUUCUUCUCCUUCCUUGUCUUCCUCUUCUUUUCCUUCCUCUCCUUCUUGUUCUCCUUCUCCUUCUUUCCUUUCUAGAGAGAGAGGGAGAGAAAUAGAGAGAUGAGAGUGAGAGAGAGGAAUGAGAGAGUGUGAGGGAGAGAGAGGGCCCAGCCCACUCUAAUAAAGGCCAUUUUGCAUUUAGACCCCUCAACUUUUAACCCCUUGCGCAGCCCUCGCUGGGCAGUUUUCGUGCGGAGGGACCGGUCUCCCCGACUUGGGACCGGUCCCCGAGAGCGUCCCUCGGGCGCACGCGUUCGAGUACCGGUCUCUCCCCGGGAGACCGGUCCUCGGGAGACAGGUCCUCGCCUGAGAGACCGGUCCCCGAGAGCUCAAUUUUCAGGACUUAGCCAAAUCUCGGCAUUUCUCGCUGGAACCACGUUCGGGAACCGGUCCCUCACUGCCAGGGACCGGUUGCACCAUGCAACCCCGCACGCCCAGCCGAUGGGACCGGUCUCUCACCUCCAGAGACCGGUCCCCGAGAGCAACUUCAGCCCAAUAAUGCUGUUUGCAUCGUUAGCUCUCGUGGACUCAACUCCAAAGCACUUUUUGUGUUUUGGACAUUUUUAACUUCCCCAGAGGGUAUUCUCUCGACAAAUAGUCGAUCCUGGACGAAUGAUAACUCUCGAAUUUCGAGAAUUCACUUCCUUACACUUGUUCACCCAAAAGGAGUUGAAUAUGCGGCAACGGCGGUGGUUAGAGUUACUAAAAGACUACGAUGUCACUAUACUAUACCACCCCGGUAAAGCC
Molecule: long non-coding RNA, 75337 nt
Filed under: Ananas comosus (pineapple)
Lineage: Eukaryota; Viridiplantae; Streptophyta; Magnoliopsida; Poales; Bromeliaceae
Description: long non-coding RNA (ACOM_LNC031540)
Source: RNAcentral